AAAAUGAAAGUUGUAGCCUUUUGUGUCUAGUUUUCAGAAAAAUAAACCAUUUAGAAUUUGGAAUUGUGUAAAAAAAGUUAUGGCUGGUAUACUACAGGCUAUCCGGGAAAAUGAAGAAGAAAUAUUUGUUGCACAGGACUGACUUUGCCAGCUUAUAUCUCAAAAUCUAUAAGGAAUUGGGAGAUGAACAAAACAUGAAUAUUGUAGAUCUUGGUGUCUAAUUUUCAUAAAGUUAAACCAUUUAUCAUUUGGAAUUUUAUACAAAAAGUUAUAACCAUUAUACUAGAAGCUGUCUGAGAAGAGUUUGGAAAUGGCUUUUGAGAAUUUUAUUCAUCACGAACGCGAUGGGAGGCCCGUGAAUGCGAAGAAGGGUUGCCUGGCAGUGUAUAAGUUUGCAAAAAUAGGUUUGGCUCAUUUCAUCUCAUUUCCUCCAUGGGAGACAACCUAUGAGCGAUUUUGGAGCUCCAUCUUUAUCAUCCAUGUCAAGGUAAGUGAUUCCACCUAUUGCAAGUUAAAUACUUGGAUUAUAUAUAGAUUUUAAUAUGGAAAUUCAUGAAAUGUUAGUGAAAAUUUGGGAUUUUGGUAGAAAACCUAAAAAAAAUAGUAUUUUUAGAUUUUGAUCACGAAUUUGGGCAUGGAAUUGAGAAUAAAUUAUAUAUUUGAGUUCAUGAUGUUAUGGGUAAUAUUUGUCUUCGAAAAUUUUUGGAAUCCGGGCACGUGGGACCGAGGGUGAUUUUCGACUUUUUGAUUGGGAUUAGAACUUGUUAUAAAUUAGAUUAUAAUGAGUAUUUGAGUAUAUAUUUAUGGGUUUGCACAAUUAUUGACUAGUCUUGGAGCAUUGAGCAUCGGUUUGAGUCGUCGGAAGGGCUUGGGAGCCGAAUAUGGAACUUCGGAGUGAGGUAAGUCUCCUUCCUAACCUUGUAAGAGGGAAUUUAUCCUAUAGGUGAAAUAAUUCAAUAUGUGCUUCUAUUUGUGAGGGUUGCGUACACACGAGGUGACGAGAGUCCGUGCGUAGCUACUAUAUUGCUUAUGUCUGGGUAGUCUAGGACCCAAAUCACGUUAUAUUUGUGAUUCUUGCAUCCUACUUGUUAAGUUAACCAUUUAAAAUAUAUUGAAACUUGAUAAAGGAAUUUCAAAAGGUUAAACUUCACCUACUUGGGUUUUGGAUGGGUUACUUGACCGUUAAAGAGAAUUGAUAUUUCUUUGAACAUCAAACCUAAAUAAAUCCUUGAUUUGGUUGUUUGAAUGUAUUUAUCUUUUGUGGAACGGGCCGCACGCCUCAGCAGAUUAAAUAGAUGCAUCUAUGGUUCGCGCCGUUUAACCCUUCGGCAGUGCACAGUUUAAUAUUAUGUUGGAUCGAGUCGUAUGACCUCGGCAUAAUUUGCGCAUGACUUAAUUGAUUGUUUUGGAAUUAUUGAUAAUUGAUGUGGCUUCACUGGCCGGAGAUAUAAAUUGUUAAAAGAUGAAAAUAAAUUUAGAAAUCUCCUAUUAACAAAAGAAUUAUUUACCUACUUCAUGUUAUUGAGUUUACAGUUGCCUUAUAAAAUCCAUAAUUUAUCAUAUUAUCGGUAUAUUAUUGUUGGCCAUAGUAAGUGUCGGAGUCGACCUCUCGUCACUAGUUCUUCAAGAUUAGACUGGAUACUUUCUGGGUAUGCGUUGUUUUCGUACUCAUACUACACUUGCUGUACAUUAGGCACAUGUAUGUCUAGUGGCCUUGAGGGCGCAGUGGCGUAGUUGAUACGGGGACUUAGGGGAGUUGCAUCCUAUGAGACGAUUCGCAACCAGCAAAGUCUCCUUCAAAGCACUUGUAUUUUUCUUUUCUGUCCAAAUUUAUAUUCCGGGCAGUUAUUGUAUUUUAUUUUAUUUUCUAGUAAAUAUUCAUGUACUUGUGACAUCGGAUUCUGGGAGAAUUAUGGGAUACUCAGUAUUGAAAUUGGAAAAUAUUAUUACUAUUCUGCAAAGUUUGCCUUUUUAUUAGUUAAGUUGAAGGAAAUUUAUAAUUUCAAUAAAAUAUUAAAAUGAGAAUUUAAUUAACUAUUUAGUGUUGGCUUGUUUGACAGUGAUAUCCGACGCUAUUACGACCUUUAACGGAUUUUGGGUCAACCACUUCCUUUGCCUCUCCUCCUGGCUCCUACGACAAAUUCGGCUCCAUUAUUAUUGGGGAUCUUCUUAAAAAUAUAACGUCCAAUACAAUACGUUGCACCUAAUAAUCAUAUUUUUCAGUUUAUACUUGCAUAACCAAUAUUUUCUUGCAAUAAUAUUUAUACACUGUAUAUAUUAUUUAUGUACCUAUAUAAUCAAUGUAUCUACCUUUUAUAAAUAUUUAUAAUAGUGCAUAAAAUAUAUAAAACCUUGUACAAAAAUGUAUAAACGUCGCUAGCUGUACUUACGAAUUUCUUAUGUGAUUUUCAAUUACAACCUAUCCAAAACCAAUCCAAAUCUUCACCAAUUGACUUUAAAUUUUGUAGACAACCUCAUUAAUUAGAAUAUUUUUAAUGGGAGAAAUUCAAAAAUAACCAGAUUUACAAGGGGUAUUUGCAUCUAUACCCGUACAGGGCUGAAGUAGCAAAGGCAAUCACGCAAAACUUCAGCAUUCUAGUAGUCGGGUCUGAAGUUCAACUCUAGAGCUCAAGUUUUUGUUUUGUAACUGGUGAACUUCAGCUCUAGAGCUGAAAUUUUUGUUUUUGUAACUGGCGAACUUCAGCUCUAGAGCUGGCUGAAGUUAUUGAGUUCAUUUGUAAAUUUAGCCCUCAGAAAGUUUUUACUCACACAUCAUGUAGUAGAAAAACUCAUCUUGUAGCCUACACUUCAAAACCUACAUUAGAUGUUGCUAUUUGCUCAGUUAGUGGUUGCUCAAGUAUCCGACAUUUUCAAUUUUGACAAUACGUGCCAGUUAUUGAAAACAAAGGAAGCAACGGAACUGGAUUUGCAUUCACGACUGGUAUCAGGUUUUGGCUAAGAACCAAAUAAAAAGAAACAUGAAUGCCCUAAUGCCAGUUGAAGCAAGGGUAACUUGGGAAAACAUAUUACUAACUUACGUAAUUAUUUAUAAUUUAUUUUAAAUUAAUCUGAUAAAUAAUAUUUAUUGGCAAUCAUCCCACUGAACUAAUGUUCCAUAGCAACACCAACAGCAGCAGAAGAAAGAAGAAGAAGAAGAAGAAGCANNNNNNNNNNNNNNNNNNNNNNNNNNNNNNNNNNNNNNNNNNNNNNNNNNNNNNNNNNNNNNNNNNNNNNNNNNNNNNNNNNNNNNNNNNNNNNNNNNNNNNNNNNNNNNNNNNNNNNNNNNNNNNNNNNNNNNNNNNNNNNNNNNNNNNNNNNNNNNNNNNNNNNNNNNNNNNNNNNNNNNNNNNNNNNNNNNNNNNNNNNNNNNNNNNNNNNNNNNNNNNNNNNNNNNNNNNNNNNNNNNNNNNNNNNNNNNNNNNNNNNNNNNNNNNNNNNNNNNNNNNNNNNNNNNNNNNNNNNNNNNNNNNNNNNNNNNNNNNNNNNNNNNNNNNNNNNNNNNNNNNNNNNNNNNNNNNNNNNNNNNNNNNNNNNNNNNNNNNNNNNNNNNNNNNNNNNNNNNNNNNNNNNNNNNNNNNNNNNNNNNNNNNNNNNNNNNNNNNNNNNNNNNNNNNNNNNNGAUCGGUCCGAAAACUGACUAGACCCACGCUAUUUUAACAUUUUUAAUAGGUCUAAACAACACCCACGCUAGAUCUCUUACAAAAAUCAGAUUCAAAAGUUAUAUCCACUUUUUUAUGUCUGUUCAACGAAGGUUAGUUACCAUUCUAAUCUAAUUUUUACCAUCCAAAUCUUACAAAGUAAGUAUUCCAACCACAAUUUGAGCUCCAACCACAAUAAUAUGUCAGUUUGUCAACUAACAAUUAAUAUGAGUCAUAAUUUCAUAGGUCCUAUGAUGAUAAAUACAGAGUGAUGUGUGCUCUGUGUAUAUUUUUUAAUUGAAAAAAAAGAUGAAUCUAAAAAUUUCUCUUAUAAUAUACUUUAGCCGAAUACUUAGCGAGACUUUGCAGGAAAAAAAUUUACUAAAACCUUGUGCAUCACAAGUAAUUUACUUAUUUUAAAGUGUGUAAGCAUUUUAUUUUAAAAACUUAAAUUAUGAGAAAACACAUUUUGUCUUCAAUACACUCCUCCCUCACAUGCUGAUUUGAUUAAUUUUUAUCGGCCAAGCACGUAAUAUUUCAGUGAAUGGUUCAGUAAGGGGUUCUACAAUCAAAUCAAAGUAGAGACGAGUUAAAAGUUUGUGUUAAUUCUAAAAGAAUUUGGAAUACUUGACGUUGGCGUGAUACAGUAGAGUUCUGGGUCAUCAACUAACUAAUGAUAGGCAUCUUCAGUGGAUAUGUUGUUUGGAUAAGUAUUGACUCUUUUCAUCCAAAAAGAAGACUUCAUCAGGUGACCGUUGAAAGGAGCAUACUUCCACAUUAGCAACGGCCUUUGUCCUUCCUCCCCAUUGGAAAAUUCUUCACAACUUAACUAAUGGUCUAGGAAUGAUAUUCUCUUCAACACGCACCACUACUAACACUUAAUUACACAUUAAAUAAUUUCCAAAACGAAAAAAACACCUUAUCUCCCUAGUCCAACAUUGUCCAUCAGCACAAAUCUCCGUACACUAUCUUAUUCUUACCUUGUGCAAAUAGAUAGGUUAUUUCCGAUAUACUUCCGACUCACACUAGCAUAGUGCAACAUUAAAGCAAAAAAGAUAUAGUAAUGAAAGAGUCAUGAAAAUGAAGUAAUAACAUUGAAAUAGUGACAAAAUCGAAGCAGAAGCAACAUCUGAUAGUGAUAGACAUUCAAGAAUAAGACAAAAAUAAGAGUAAUACUAAAAUUACUAGUAAUGACAGGAAGACAGCUCUACGACCUACUAAUCUUCUACUCUAAUUCUUGAUCUCCACAACUUACUGUCAAAAAUCAUUUUCUUACAUUAAAUCACAAAAUUGCUUUAGUUAUAGCAUUGCAAGAUACGAAUACUUAAGAAAAGAAUUGGGAAAGCUUGGAUAGAUAAAAUUAAGCAUAACACAAGAAAUGAUUACACUCAUUGAUCACCUCAGUGCUUACUCCUAGCAUAUUGCUAUCAAGUGAAAAUAAUCUAGCUAACUUCAACUGAACUGAAGUAAUUUAAUUUUAACUUUCAUUUUAUCCUUCACGAGGAAAUACCAAGUAUGUAUGACUUAUUUUGGCUCAUAAAUUUUAAUUUAUUUAUUUAUUUUUUGAAUUUUGUGUCCAAUCAAAAUGCAUUACAUAAAAGCAGUAUACAACAUUUUUAACUUAUAUACACGGUCAACUUAAAAUAAAUUUUAUACCACACAAACUUGGAAGAAACACAUUUUAUAUCAAAGAGAAGUUGUGAUGAAGCAGUUUUGGCCGUUAAGGAAAAAAAGGACUUUUGGCCGUCAAAGAACAAGCUAUAAGAAAAAAGAGUGCAAGAUUAAUUCUUGCGGAAUGUCAUCCAAAAAAUAAAUAAUAAAUAAAUUUAGCACUUUAGGGGAAAAAAUUAAAAUGUUCAGAAAGUUAGUCGGGCAAAGAUCUACAAAUGAAAGUUUUGGGAGAAAAAUAAUCCUUUUUCUUUCGUGAAACUUGUAACGAUUAAAAAGUACUUGAGCAAAUAGUGAUGAAAGGGACAAGGGUAAACCGAUUAGAGCCAAUAUGCUGAGAAAAGCUGUGACGAUACUCUCAUCUCCAUCUCCCAUAUAAUGUACGGUCUCCGACUUCCGUCCAAUCUCUUCCCCUAACGGCUGUUUCUCUCUCUCUCCAUCUUAUUCUUUUCUUUGCCCCCACAUUUACAGAAACCUUUUGCACACUCAUCCCUCUAUUCCUUCUUUAUCCCAGAUUCCUCCCCCCUUCUUUCUCUCUCUCUCUCUGUUAUCCUUUUUUCAUAUCUCAGACCCGGUUUUCAAGAAGACGUAUAUAUCCAAUCCAACGUUAUAGCUCUUUAGAUAAGCAACAAACCCAUUUUCUUCAAAACACCACCAUUGAUACUCCCACUUCAGCUCUAAUUUUUCGAGUCAAGAAUUUUCCCCCAUGUUCAAAGAGAAUGAAUCUUUAUUAUUAUCAUCAACAAUCAUUUUCCGUUGUUGUAGAUUGUAGAUUUUUACUGCCAAUUUAGCAAUCAAUCCAUUAAACAAUGGACAAACACCGUAGUAGAUGGACUUAUUCAUUCACCAAGCUUAUUUUCUGGACCACACUUUUUGCAGGUACCAUUCUUUUCGUAUGUUUCCACUCUCCUCCUUCUGAUUCCCCAUCUAUCCACCCCAAGAUGAAAUGGGGCAGCCCACAAUGGGAAAAACGUGUCAAAUCCUCUGCCCGUUCUCGUUCCGGUCAUUUUACCGUCCUUGUCACCGGUGCUGCCGGUUUCGUCGGGUCCCACGUUUCCGCCGCCCUCAAACGGCGUGGCGACGGCGUCGUCGGCCUGGACAAUUUCAACAGCUAUUACGAUCCCUCAUUGAAAAGAGCUCGUCAGAAAUUGUUAGAACGUAAUGGGAUUUUUGUUAUUGAAGGUGAUAUUAAUGACAGGCAUUUACUCGAGAAGCUUUUUGACGUUGUUGCUUUUACUCACGUAAUGCACUUAGCUGCACAAGCUGGCGUUCGUUACGCUAUGAAGAAUCCUGGUUCUUAUAUCCAUAGUAAUAUUGCAGGUCUCGUUAGCGUUUUCGAGGCCUGUAAAUCAGCUAAUCCACAGCCUGCAAUUGUUUGGGCAUCGUCCAGUUCUGUUUAUGGACUUAACUCUAAAGUACCCUUUUCAGAAAAAGAUCGAACGGAUCAACCAGCGAGUCUUUACGCCGCGACAAAGAAAGCUGGUGAAGAGAUUGCUCAUACUUAUAACCAUAUCUAUGGUCUUUCAAUUACAGGGUUGAGAUUCUUCACUGUUUAUGGACCUUGGGGUCGGCCUGAUAUGGCGUAUUUCUUUUUCACAAAGGAUAUAUUAAAGGGAAAGAGUAUUAAUGUGUUUGAAGGUUCUAAUAAUAAAAGUGUAGCAAGGGAUUUUACUUACAUUGAUGAUAUAGUGAAAGGGUGUUUAGGGGCACUGGAUACAGCUGAGAAGAGUACAGGAAGUGGUGGGAAGAAGAAGGGAAAUGCGCAAUUGAGAGUGUUCAAUUUGGGGAAUACUUCACCUGUGCCAGUUACUAAGCUGGUUAGUAUAUUGGAGAAGUUGCUUAAGGUAAAGGCUAAAAAGAAUGUUUUGCCACUGCCAAGAAAUGGGGAUGUGAUGUUUACUCAUGCUAAUAUUAGCUAUGCUCACAAGGAAUUUGGAUAUAAGCCUACUACAGAUUUGCAGAUGGGGUUACAGAAGUUCGUUAAUUGGUAUCUUGAUUACUAUUCAGUUAGUGAGAAGAAAAAGAGUUUUUGGUGACCUUAUUAAUGAAGCUUUUAGCUACUGAUCAAAUAGAAAGUAGGAGGGGCUAUGAGCUUGGCAUAAGAAAAUAUCCAAAACUUGUAUAGGUAUUUUAAUUUUUGGUGGACCGGAAUAUUUUUUUUAACCUUGAACAACUGUAUUAAUGACUUCCAGCUGGGGAGAUUCCAUUAUGCUAGUCAUCUCACAGUCUUAAUGAACUGUGCUUCCUUCUUUCUGUCCCUCAUCAAAAUGUGCUCAUGCCUUGUAUUGCUCUUAUGAUGAUUAUGUUAAUACUAUUUAGGACUGCAUUUGCAUGCAAGUCAAUCUGGAGGCACGUGUAGAUUCAUGAUUUGUUUUGUGUAAAUUAUACUGCACUCUUUUCUCUGUCUUUGUGUUCGUUUUUUUGGGGUUUGGGGGGGGGGGGGGGGAGGGAAUCAGUUCUUACUCUUAGUAACGUAUAGGAGGUGAUUAAAUCCAAUUACAAUGCGACUUACCCAUUAUCUCAUGAACUUUGAGUUGUUCCAUGUUGAUACAUCACGUAUUUCGGGCCCUUCUUUAUUGGACGAAGAACGUAAGAAGUCAACCAGCAAUUUAAUUCUAUCUUAAAACUCUGCGCAGCUAAAGGCCUAAAACCAAUUUAUGCCUCAAUAAUUCCACUGGUGCUAGUUCUCCGAAGGUGCAAAAGAUCUUCGGCUUACUCUACAAAAGUGAUCAAAAUUCAAAAGCCCAAAGUUAUCCUAAGAUUAUUUAACUUGCUGAACAAUCUCACUUGUUCAUUUUAAGGCAUAGUAAGGUAGGUUGUUUGGCAACAUGCACACAGACGAUGCAUUCACAAAAGGCAUGCAUCAUUCACGAUGUGGAUCCCAAAUAGUAAACAUUUCUGAUUCUAUUUUGUUGAUAGAUGAUAAUUGCUUACUUGUGGCGAGAAAGUUUGCAGUUUUGAGUCUAAAGCUAUUAUCCAAUUGGCUUUUGAAUCUUGUGCCCAUGCCCAAGAAAGAUAGCUGGGUAAGGAUUGGAAUUCAGACUAUUUCUGGAAAGUGAGUCGAUCAAAACUCAGCUGAUGUCUGUUGUUUAAUUUUUCCAGCACAUUGACCAUUGACUACGGAGGAUUUGCAGCAAAAUUUUGUCAAAGCAACAUGAAGAUGGGUCAUUUUGUAGGACCGUAUACACAGACACCACCAGAAUCCUAAUUGUGCUCAUGUUGUGUGACUUGUGACGGAGAAGUAUUAAUUCUACCAGAAAGGACAUCCCCAAAAAGUAAAUUGUUUUGUGAUCAUAAUACAAAAGUGUCGAAUAGCUGUACUAACUUAUUAUGAAUCUGGCAAAUAUUAAAAAUAGACCGGGGUCAUACUGUCAAAGAGCUUAUGAGUUUGCAUUUAUUUCAUAUAAAAAAUAAAAUAGCAUUUACUCAAAGUAAUUAUGUACUUGAGAAUUCUCAUCUUAGUAAGCUCUUCAACGCACUCGCAUGUGUAAAUUAGAGCAGCUACAUGAGGAAUGUGGUUGUCACUGAUCAUACUUCUUAAAGGUCCAUGUAUUUUAUUGAUGAGGAAUACUUUUCAAAAUGUGCAAAUUUUUUGAAGCUCAAACACGAAACAACCGGAAGAAACUUGAGAGAAUCUUGAGUGUAACAAUGUCAGGCACUUGAAGAGGGAGAGCUAGAAGGCCAGAAAAUUGUGAUUUCCACUUACACUGCUUAUUUAGGCGAGAUACUGAGUAACUAGAUUGAAGUGUACACACUAUCCCUGGAAGUUUUAAGGUCAUAACCAUAACUCAGGUAAAAAAUCGAUAAGGGCACAAGACAGGGAAAAAAACCAAGAAACGCUGCCUUCAACUUAAGCUAUGUGGUCUUGGCUCGCACUACUCAUAGGUCACUAGUUCUGAUAUGCAAUAACUAUAAUUCCUGAAUAUCAUGUAAUAUCUUUGGGCAAAAGACCUAAAAAUUAAAAUCAACAUUUCCGCAAGAACAUCUGAAAUGUGAUAAGCAGGACCAGGUUGACACACUUUAAUAUACAUCAAAAGUUCGUUGUGAGAUAUCAUGAUACCCAAGAAGAUAAUCUGAUUCAGUAUGGUGACGCCUUAGCGAUGACCAUUUUUGCUGUCGCUGUCCAUUUCCUCCGCAUCUUCAAACCUUUGAUCAUUAAUUUGAAGCUGCAGUAAGAAAAGUAAAUGUCUCAAUUUUCCAGCAACAAAUAGCCAACAUAUGCACUAGAAGUUCAUGUGAAAUAACUAAAGCAGAAAGCAUGAAGAUGCUCUAUUUUCAUAUCUCAACCUACUCUUAUAGACCUGAAACCACUCCCCGCCCCAAAAAAUAACAAUAAUAAUAAACAAACUUAGACGACGAGGUGUAUUAUAGAAGGGCACAGCAUAUGCCAGAGCUAUAGUGAAAUUGCACAUGCAAUUAUUGAUAAUAGUUUAGCUAGCAUCCAUCUAAAAACAUGAGUUACUUGAGACAAUCAGCCAAGAGGAGCUCUAAAAUUCUUGACAGUGAUUGCCAAAUAUAUAGUGAGACCCUCUGCCUGUUACUCUAGAAACUAAGUAUUUAAUUUGUUCAUCUCCCAUGCCACCCAAACCCAACACCUACCAACAAGCCAAACAAAAGGCAAAUGACAAUAGAAUAAUCACAGUUCUUAAGUUCAAGUCUCAAACCAAAUCUACAACAGGCAUACCUGCAGCACAUUAUGAGCUAAGUCGUGAUCUCCAUUUGAAUGACCAAUAGAAUGUGUCAGAUUCUGAGAAAACGUCCAUUCAGAUUCUUCCUCUUCAAAAGUAAGACCAAUAACAGUAAAAGUUAGUUGGCAAAACAAAAAUUGUUUUCUUAAAACAAACCAGCGCCUAUCAAUUCCAUACCAGCUUCCUGAUUUUCCAGCUGAUCUGCACUGAAUAUCCAAUUAUGCUCUUCUUCCUCCCCUAGGAAAAGCGAUACCAGGGUUUAGUCAAGUAGAAACAUGACUGGGCAGAAGAAAAUGAGAAAAAAGACGUUUGUUUGGAGUAUGUCCAAAGAAAUAAAUAACCACCUUCAAUUGGUUCAGGAUUAAGCUCAGCACAUUCACAAAAGAUCUGGAAGAGAGUAUCCACUGCCAAAAUAGAACAUACAAAUAUAUCUUUAGGAGCUGAAGUAGCAGAAGGCAUUUAUCCUAGAUGAAAGAUUUCAAGGAAAACCCAAGUAAAAAGAAUGGGCAAGAAUGAAGUACAUUGAUCAAGAUCCGAUGGCACAAGUCUCAACUCAGUUAUCCUUGAUAAAUCUAAUGACUCAUCACCCUCAUCAGUGGAGCCUUCUGAUUCAUCAUCCUCCAAUCCAUUGUCAAUCUUCAAGAACAAAGCAAAAUAUAUCCAUCAUUUUCAUAACAGAGAAAGCAAUCACAUUUGCAAAAUGGAACAAAUGUUUAACCCACACCCACACUCAGUUCCCCUUCAGAAAAGAAAAUAAAUCAAAUGAUCAAACAAAACUUUAAACGAGCCUGAAAGAAAGUAAUUGUGUUACCAAAGACACACUAAUAAUGAAAACAAAAGACAUGCCUUAACAGAAUGGACACAUGCAUAACAAUCAUGGAACCGCCUCAUCAAGGUAAAAUAUGCAUAACAAUCAUGCAUCCAAUCCCAAAUGAUCUUCCAGCUUCACUGAACAGAUAGCAUAUGCUAGCCUAUCCUAAUUUUUUUUCUGGAUCCUAUUUUGUCAAAUAAAAGAAAUUGCAUUUUUACCCGAGCAGAGGAUGUCCAACUAUAUACUCACCGUGUGAGAUACUGAGAUAGCUUACUGACAAAUGAAAAAAGAAAAAAGAAAACAGCAGGAUGAUACUCCGUGCUCAAGUAAACAGGAAAACUACAGAUGCAUAAAAUCAAACCGAGAAACUAAACUUAAAUAGAAUGCCAAGUUACCCUAUUGAAUGUAGUGGAGUUGUGUACUUUUCCACACUCCUCAAUAGGACUAAUGGAGAGGACAACUGAACUAAUUAGUUUUAACCAACUGAACCAAUUAGUUUUAACCAACUGAACCAAUUAGGGGAGGAAUGCUUGAAAUCUAAGUAUCCUAUUUAUUCAAUUAUUCUGUUAAAAAGGAUGGUAUGAUUGCUGAUUUUCACAGAGACAGGAUGGCAUGUGGAGCUCAGAAGAAACUUGAACGACUGGGAGGUAGAUGAUUAUUAUCUUUUACUUCAACAGCUUGACUCAGUCUCAAUUAGUCAUAGUAAGGUGGAUGCACUGAUCUGGGCAGAUGGUAAGUAUAAAAAGUUUCCAGUCAAAAGUUGUUACUAUAAUAUGCAGAUUAAGAAGUCAAGUCACAGGGAUGACAAUUGGCCUUGGAAGAUGAUUUGGAAGAAAAAAGAUCCAGUCAAGGUGGCAUGCUUUGGAUGUAUAGCAGCUUGCAAAACAUGUUUGACACAAGAUAAUUUGCAAAAAAAAGGGUUUUAAUCUAAGUAAUAGAUGCUAUCUGUGUGAAGGAGAUCAAGAAUCAGUGAAUCAUAUUCUUCUCCAUUGUAGAAUUGCUAAACAAUGCUGGGACUUGUUCUUAAACAUUUUUGGUAUCUCUUGGGUAAUGCCACAGACCGUUAGGAGUUUGUUGGAAGAGUGGCAAAAUCAAAGAGUACCUAGAAGACUGAAGCAAAUAUGGAGAACCAAACCAUUGUGCAAUGUGCAUAUUCUGGACUUUAUGGCUGGAAAGGAACCGGGCUUGUUUUGAAGGACACAAGGAUCACAUUUUCAGAAUUAGAAACAAAUGUAUUACCUGUUUUAUUGGUGUAAAAGCAGUGUACCAGUGGAUCAACAGUUUAUAGAUUUUCUGGAUUUACUAGGACUGUAGGAGAUGGUUGUUUCUGGGGUGGUCUUUGUAACAUUUUGUACCAUCUUGCUACCUUAUUAAUAAAACUUUUACCUUAUCCAUAAAAACAAAAUCAAAACCACAAAAUAGUUAUCUUUACAAGCUUUCCCCAAAUAAAAUACAAAACAAGAACCUAAAGAUUUUAGUAGUUGUUACCAAGUUACCAAAUACAAAAAACAGAAAUUACUUUUUCCAUAAAUCUAAAACAAUUGCGACUGCAGCUUUUCAGAUACCUGGUUUCCUUUCCCAAUUCAGAGAGUUCUUAGUUGUUUAUUCAAAUGCCAACUCAAAAAACAACAGGAUGAGGGUAUUCCGCCUAAAUAGUAGACACGGGUAACAAAUAAGGACUAGAUAUCCAGGACGUAAUUUGUCAAAUGCUAACACAAGGUACUUAUUAGGUAGAAUAUAACUAUUCAAUCUGAUGGAAUGUUUUUUCUCUACCAAUCUAAGCCAUUUCAUGAAUAAAAUGAGACCUAUUAAUAUAGUUCCCCCCCACCCACCCACCCCAAAUUCUUUUUUAAUUCUCAUUCUAACUUAGUAGUCAAUAUUGAUAUCAUUAUGCUCCCUGCAUUCCCAAUAUCUCACGAAGUUAAACAAUCCCUCUGUUAUACUAUGGAAUAUUUGUGACCAGAGAACUACGAACUUCCUCUUGUCAAGUGGUGUUAAGCGAACUUACUUAAUUCUUCUAAUUGUCAUUUGCAUUAUUCUAGCUGAAAAUUUUGAGCGAAGCAGCAUGGGAUGAUACCUCUUGAUGCAAGAUAUAUCUGCCUCUGAUAGCAAGGGUGAGAACCUUUUCAUGUCAGAUAUUUAAAAGGGAAAUAAUCAUAUGGAUAGACGCUUAAAUUAUCACUUCAGUAUAUUCCUAACCCUUUUUUAUUACUAUCAGUUCCAUUUCACGACCAGCAGUUCUUAAUAUUACAUCAGAAAUUAAUCCAAAUAUAGGCAGGUCAAUUUGCUUCUACAAAAUUUGGGACAUUCCAAUUUCACAAAGAACAGAAAUUAAUCUUCAUUUUUUUGGCUCUCUUGCUAAUAUAGAGUGAAACGUAAAACCUCAACUAACAGAAAUAAUAUACUCCGUAUUUUCAUUUCGAAAGGAGAUUCUACCUGAGCGUAUAAACAAGGAUCCUGAUACGCCUCGGGGUCCCUAGACACAGCAUGAAGUGAAACCGACAAGAAAUCAACUGCAUAACCUUUUCUCCUAUCUGUAUCGCUUAGCCAAACCACUUGCCUGGUAAAUAUUUUACGAAUUACAACCAAAACUCAACGACUGAUUCGAUUCGAAAAGGCAUAAAUACAGAAACAAACAAAAGAUAAAUCGAAGGUCGAGAAGUUACUUAGUGGUGAUGUAGAGAGUGCCAGAAGACUCAGGCUGGCGGCUGCCGAGGACGAUGGCGGUUCCAGGCUGCACGUGCAUGAGUUCCUCGCCGUUGUCGGCGUCGAGGACCGGCUGCCCGGCGCCGUCACCGGUUCUUUCAACGAAGAACCUCAAGCCUGACAUAGUUUCCGGUUAAUUGAUGUUUACUUAGCUCCGGCAGAAAAGGAGUUGGAGACUGGUAAAGGCUCUGCUAGACUGCUGCUCUAGGGUUUUGGUUGGGCGCCAAAAUUAUUUUCACAACAUUUUGCACUGCUAUAAGAAGGUUCUGGACUGUUCAUUCCCAGUGGGUCUACGUGGCCUCUUGACUAAGGUCAAAAUCAAUUUUGGGAGCAGUAUUUAAUUUAGAGUAACACCAAUAUUCAGUAGGCGUUUGAACGUAACAAAAAUAUGAGAUUUAAAAAAAAAAGUAAGUUUUGAAGUUAAAUUGAAAAAAUAUAUUUGAAAAUUAACAUUGUAUUUGGAUAUUCGUUUUAUUGAAAAAUACUAUAGUUUUAUAAGAGAAAAAUAUUAUUUACUUGAAAAAAAUGUUGGGUCAACAAAAAGGGAAAGACUUUUUCGAUCCACAAAAGAAAUAUUAUUUGGAAAACAACUUGUUCUCCUUAAUGUUUUAAGUUAUUGCGUACGAGUAAAACCGGGGCAGAGUUUUCCCCAAUUACUGGUGAGGAAACAAAAGGGAAGCAUGGCUCGACACGACUACAAGCGAGGUCAAAGGACCCCUCGUAUCGGAACCAAGGAGGAGUGAACGAUGCAUCUGGGAUCGGGCACGAUGACAUAACGGACUUAGACCAAGUAAGGUUCCUGGACCAUGAGAAAUGCGGAGAACGGUUAUGCAUGACGAAUAUGGAACUGUAAUAUUCGCCCUCAAUUGGAUAUUACGGCGCGAAUCCCGUCCAAUAUCAACUGCGGAUCGAUAUUUACCAAAAAAGGAGAUUUUUACCUUAUUUAGACUUGUACCAGGACUGAACUACUAUAUAAAGGAGAAGGUUUCUUUUAUUUAAGACACGGUGACACGCAAUCAAAAGAAUAAAGGUUUUUUUUGUUUUCUAGCUACUGUUGAAAGUGUUCUUAAUUUGAUCUCUUCUCUAUUUGCGAUCGAACUUGUAUUGAGGGUCCGAUCGAUAACAAAUCCUACUAUUCAACUUACGAUCAGGCUUGUUCAUCGCAUUGCGAUUGGUUUGAUCAUUUAUUUUAUCAUUAACUUAAUUACCUAUUGUUCUUAACCAUUCGUACUGAAUUAAAUCGCAUAUCCUUUAAAUCGCAUACAAAUUUAAUUGUUACUCAUUUUUUAUGCAAACAGUUUGACACUCACUGUAGGGCUAAGGAUAAUAGUGGUGAUUUGAUAUGAAUCUAGAUAACACACCCUAUUUUACGCUUGUUCUUUGAAGUUUUGACUUCAGGUUAGCCCAAGGAUGUCAAAUUCUCAGUCAGCUCACUUGAACGUUGAUGCUGAGUCAGGCCAUCAUGGUGAGAAUAAUAACGUGAUGCCUAGUAAUGAUGUGUUCCCUAUCGAUCCCAAUAGUGUCCCAGCCACCGACCCGGUCGAUGCUAACUCACAAACGACCAUCAAUAUCAAUCUACCAACUGAUCCUGAAAACAACGUUCAAAGGGGACGCCAGCCAGCGGCUCGAGAGGCGCCCGUAAGCGAAGGUGAUAAGGUAAUCAUGCGGUUGAAUUUCGAAAUGUUGCAGGCUUAGCAAGCGGCGAUAGUACAGUUACAAAACCAAAGCCACGCCCCUAACUGGGUCGAGCCCGAGCAGUUACGGGAAAAUAAUCGGAGGGAUGAACAUGUUGUCCUAGAACCGAGCAAAUUUAGGCUCGGGAAACCUUUCGAAGUGUUGAAGAUACUCAAAAACGGGUGGACUGGCGAGAAAACGAUUGAGGCCAAUGACAAAAAGGUGGAAACAUAAAACUCCAGGGUCGAUCAGUCCCUGGAGCGCCUCCGAUAGUGAAGGGAUCGGACUCCAAAAAGUUUAUUCAGAAGCUUUUACCUCCGAGCGCGGCACCAAAGCCGAUCUUGAAGAGGUUUCGGAUGCCCGACAUCCCCAAGUAUAAUGGGACCACGGAUCCAAAUGAGCUUGUAACCUCCUAUACAUACGCAAUCAAAGGGAAUGUUUUGGAAGACGACGAAAUUAGGUCGGUAUUGCUGAAAUAAUUUGGGGAAACCCUGUCCAAGGGAGCAAUGAUAUGGUAUCACAACUUGCCUCCAGAUUCUAUCGACUCGUUUGCUAUGCUUGCAGAUGCUUUCAUAAAGGUUCAUGAUGGUUCCAUCAAGAUCGAGACCAGGAAGUCAGACCUUUUCAGGUCAAGCAGAGGAAUAACGAGAUGCUUAAGGAGUUCGUGUCGAGGUUCCAGAUGGAAUGGAUGGAUCUGCCACCGGUUGCAGAUGAUUGGGCCGUUCAGGCAUUUACUCAAGGGCUCAACCCCCGAAGUUCCACGACCUCUCAACAGCUAAAGCAAAACUUGGUAGAGUACCAGCGGUCACCUGGGCCGAUGUCCACAAUAUAUAUUAAUCUAAGAUCAGGGUCGAAGACGACCAACUCGGAGCCCCUUCUGGAUAUAUUUACCCUAUUAGAACUGAUGACAAGUCUAAGAGAAACAUUAAUCAAGAGUCGAGGUCGGCUCGAGAUCGAGAUCGAUAUCAGCCAUACAACAGGGAUCGAAGGGGAAACAGAUCAGGGCACCAUCCGACAAGGAAUGAGAAGAAAAAUGAUCGAGGACCGUGUGAUCGGGUCCUGAUAAGCAAGAGCGGGUAUGACAGGUCGUUCGGGAGCAGGGAGGCUCCAAGACUAUCGAAAUAUAAUUUCAACAUGGACGCUGCAAGCAUAGUGUCAGUCAUAAGGGGCAUCAAAGAGACUAAGUAGCCCCGACCAUUGCAGUCUGAUCCUUCCUAGAGAGAUCCUAAUUUGAUGUGUAAGUAGCAGGGUACUCACGAUCAUAAGACUGAAGAUUGUCGACAGUUAAGAGAAGAAGUUGCUCGACUGUUCACCAAUGGGCACCUUCGAGAAUUCCUAAGCAAGCGAGCCAAAAACCACUUCAGAAACACGGACGCCAACAAAUAGGUCGAAUAAGAGGAGCCUCAACACGUAAUUAGCAUGAUCAUUGUGGUAGUUGAUGUCUCUCAAGGGCCGAUGAUCAAACAUACCAAAGUUUCUAUUACAAGAGAGAAACGCACCCGAGAUUACAUCUCGGAAGGAGCUAUCUCGUUCAGCAACGAACACACCGAGGGCAUCGUACAACCUCACAACGAUGCACUGGUAAUUUUGUAGUUAUCAAUAAAUCUCGGGUUAAACAUGUUUUGAUUGAUCCAGGUAGCUCGGCCAAAAUCAUCAGAUCGAGAGUCGUAGAGCAACUAGGUUACAGGAUCAAAUCAUACUGGCAGUCAAGUAUUGAAUGGAUUCAACAUGGAGUGCGAGACCACGAAAAGUGAGAUAACUUCACCAGUAAACACUGCCGGGAGCACCCAAGAAACGAAGUUCUACGUGAUUGAAGGGGAAAUAAGGUACAACGCCUUGUUCGGAAGGGCUAAAUAUAGUUGUUUAUAGCCAUUGCGAAUGGCUAAAUUUGCAAACAAGGCGUCUCCCAAGGGCUCUAUUUCAAAAAUAAAAAUAAAAAAUUAAAUAACAAGCGGGACAGACGGGAUGGGACGGGAUAAACGGGCCAAAAUGGGCAGUCCUUCCCAUCCCGUGUAGUGUUUAAUAUGGGCAUAUCCUUUUUAGAAUUAAAUGGGCCGGGAUGGGAAAGGAUAUGGACCGGGACGGGGAUGGAUCGACCCGUUCCAUUGGACAGCCAUAGUUGUACCUCUAAAUCCUUCAACUGAAACUGUCGCCCAAGAGUUAGCGACCUCACUAGAUACCAUGUAUGAAAGCUGGUGAAGGCCACCAAGUUGACAAAACGGUCCUCCUCACCUCUUUCUUCUUUGAUCUUUCAAGACUGAUAGUUGUAGCAUCUCCCUCUCUGCCAUCAUCGGGGAUAUCCUGAAUUGGUGUAUCUUUUGCCUUGUGGACAAGUGUUUUUGAUGGCUCAGAAUCCUAACUAGCACUUUCCGAUCCCUCGAAAAUGCUAUUAUAUGAGGUGCGGCCAACUGUACGGUUGGCUGCUCCUGAAUAGAGGCUGAAUUUCCCUCUGAUGCUUCCCUAGACGGGACAUAUGAACUCGUCUCGGAGAGGUCUGCACCUCUCCCUCUCCCGGCUAUUGUCUUCUUUUAAUUUCCUUUUGUUGGCCAAGAGGUAAGGCCCUCUUGUCUCAUCCCCGAGAAGGUUCACCCCUUCCUUUAGAAGUACCGCCUCGUCCCCUAGAUCGAACCAUUGUUGUAGCAAGCAAAGGAGAUUGUUAGUUAUAAUUCAAUGUUCAAACAUACACAAGAGAUAUGUAUGUAAGAUAUAAACAAGAAGGCAUAGUAAAGGUUCACAUUCAAAGCAUGCUUGCAGGAACAAGAUCUACAGUCCGCACAAUUUCCUUGCGGCCGCAGAUGAGGCCUUGCGGUCCACACAAUUUCACUUGCGGUUGCACCUCUGAAACCCAAGAAAUGUCAACUCUCUUAUGACAGAGAAUUGGCUGAUGUGCGGCUGCAAUAUGAUAUUUGUAGUCCGCACAAUUAACUUUGCGGCCGCACAUUGGAGUCCCUAGGUGGGGACUCUCUGAUGACAGGAAAAGUAGUGUUUUGCGGCCGCAAUACGAAUUCUGCGGUCCACACAUUUUUACUUAUUGCGCAGAUCCCUUCUUUCACUAUGCUGCCCUACAUUCCAUAUUUGCGGACCGCACAAAUUCAAGUGCGGGUGAUGAAUUCAAAAAUGGCGUACAGUUCAAUUAUUUCUAUCUAGGUUUUGCAAUUUUGUGCAUAAUUUGACAUGGCAACAACAUAGAUAGAUGAAAAUAUGUUUACCCAGUCCCCAUAGAGCAUGAAUUAGUUAACCUAUUACAGAUUUACCCCUACAUAGAUAAAUAGUUGAAUUCUAAUGACAAUUGGCCUAAAAACAACUAAAAAUCUACAAAUUAAAAGAAAAAGAUUAACAAGAAAUUGAAACAUACCAGAUGAAUGAGUGUAAUGAGUGACUGAUCAAAGAUGUUGUGUGUGUGGACAGAUAAAAUCACCAAGAAUUUUCAAUAGAGUGUUAUUUUUGAGCUUAGAGAGUGAAAACUCGUAACCCUUGCCCCUACUAUUCUAUUUAUACUUAUGGUCUACUAAGGGGAAGAAGGUUGAGUGCGGCCGCACAUUUCAGACAUAAUGCCAACUUACUCUUACAUUAAUCAUAUUAACUAGACAAUUUGUAUUAAUAAGAUCGAACAUUACUAAUAAUCACAAUACCUGACACAUCAUCCGGUGUAGCCUCUGGGUCCUGGCGACCUGCCAAAGCAUAUAUGCGGUUCUGACUACCGCCGGAGCUAGAUGCUCCACCCCUACCUCUACCUCUACCAGUUGAUGCCCGAGGGCCUCGCUCUUGAGGGCGUACUGAAGAGGAGGAGACUGUUAUAGAUCUGGUGGGCUGAACUAUCCUGCUUCUACCAUUUAUAGGACAAUCCCUCAUGUAAUAACUAGGGUCUCCACAGGUAAAGCAUACAUUAGACCCCUGACGAUAUUAUCCGGAAUAAGCCCUAUCGCAUUGACUGCACCACGGAGGGGGCGCCCUCAUUUGCACUGAAUCCCUCUGAUUUUGAAAACCCGAAAUUCUCGAGCCCUGACCUGACUCAGAAUAGACAGAUCUCUCAUAAUACGGCUUUUGCAACUGUCGGACACUUUCAACAGGGUAUGGUGACAUAGGAUCGCCCGGAAAAUCCUCAGGUUGCCUAGCAGGUCUAGCCUUCUUACGUUGACCCCCAUCAUGAUUCUCGUAUUGUUGUCGUUUUCGAUCCUCUAAAUUUUGAGCAUAAGCCUAGAUGCGGGAAAUAUUCAUAGCAUCGAGCAGAGCAACCGUGAAGCAUUCAUUAAUCAGGUGCAACCCAAGUCCUACCACAAACUGAUGCACUCGAUCACUCAUUUCAGCCACAAUCGAGGGGGCAUACCUCACCAAGGAAUCAAACUGGAGGCUAUACUCCCUCACACUCAUAUUCCCUUGUUUAAGAGCCAAGAACCUGUCUACCCUUGCCCGACGAAUCUCUGCCGGCAAGUAAUGAUGCAAGAAAGCCCCUGAGAACUCUUCCAAUACUGCUGGAGAUGCGUUUGUCCCUCAAGACGAUUCCCAAGUUUCAUACCACUAAACCGCAACAUCCCGCAAUCGGUAUGAGGCCAACUCUACUAACUUAGUGUUUGAUGCAUGCAUUACCCUCAAAGUCCUCUGCAUCCUAUCAAUAAAGUUUUGCGGGUCCUCAUCCUUGUUGGAUCCGGUAAACACUAGAGGGUCCAGGUUGAUUAAGUCUCGAACUCUCGCGCUAAUAACCCUGUUAACAUGAUCAACACUUGUACCUACCUGGCACUGAGCCUGAGCGGCUACCAAUCUAGUCAACAACUGUACUGCACUCCACAUAUCCAUAUCCUCAUCCUGAACAAUAAGUGGAGGUACUGGGUUCCUCCUCAUCUCUCGGGUGCGGACAAAAUUAGAGAACUAUGCGAGGCUGUCGUAUUUCCCCUCAGGGCCUCACUCUGGGCCUCGCUAGACAUUGGUACUCUACUCAUGCCCUCAUCUUCCACUACUUUACCCUUCUGACCUGUUAACAUGAUCAACACUUGUACCUACCUGGCACUGAGCCUGAGCGGCUACCAAUCUAGUCAACAACUGUACUGCACUCCACAUAUCCAUAUCCUCAUCCUGAACAAUAAGUGGAGGUACUGGGUUCCUCCUCAUCUCUCGGGUGCGGACAAAAUUAGAGAACUAUGCGAGGCUAUCGUAUUUCCCCUCGGGGCCUCACUCUAGGCCUCGCUAGACAUUGGUACUCUACUCAUGCCCUCAUCUUCCACUACUUUACCCUUCUGACUAGCCAUAGCGUUCCUGGUCAUAGGCAUCGUUGCAUAUAUAAAACAAGUCAAAGGUUAAGGACUUUAUUCCCUAUGACUCUGCUCUAUUGCACGAUUUAAUAUCAAGAAGGAAGGGUAACCGGUCCCUAAAUGCCCUGUAGUAUCUCGCUUAUACAACGUGGCGCACAACACAUUUAUAAACAAGAUUCUACUAGACACGGCUUGAUGAAAACCCUAGGAUAGAACCGCUCUGAUACCACUUUGUCACGACCCAAAUAAGAGGGCCACGACGGGCACCCGGUGCCUACUUAACCGAACGCCACCUACCUUAUUUUUUUUUCUAUAAGACUCACCAUGAUAGGCCACAGUCAUAUAUAAUUAAUAAUAUUAAACUUAACUCACAUAUCUAAUUCAAAAAUAUUUAUAUAGAAACAUAGGGCCCGACAAGGACGCUGACAUGUCGUACCUAAAGCUAUACACAGGACACUGUUUGCCAAACCUCUAAGAAAACAUGAUCAUAAUAUAAGUCGGGACAGUGUCCCCGACAUCUUCAUAAAACAAAGUAACAUAUAUAGAAUGUGACUUGGAAGUACUCCAGGAAGAUGUGGAGCUCACUAACCAAGAGUUGAUAUCUGGAGACAGCCUACAGUGGGUGGUCCUCACCUCGCCUAUCUACACCUGCGUGGCAUAAAAUACAGUGCCCCAGGAAAAGGCACGUCAGUACGAAUAAUGUACCGAGUAUGUAAGACAGAAAUGAAAUGUAAUAAUAAUAAGAUACUAUCUCGGGGAGAGAUAAGAGUCAACUUAUAACUUUUGACUUGCCGCUGAGGGCCGUAACAUGUAGAAUAACACCCAUUCAUAUAUAUAAAUAAAACUACGAUAUAGUACUUCUGAUUACAUCAUUCUCAUGGCGUUAACUACCUAACUGAUCAGUGGUAACUGCCCGACCGGCCUUCGCACGGUGGUAAAUAUAUGACUGCCCAACCGGUGGUAAAUAAUGAUACAUAACUGCCCAACCGGUGGUAACUGCCCGACCAGCCGUAACACGAUGGUAAAUGCAUGACUGCCCGACCGACCGUAGCACGGUGGUAAAUAAAUAUGCAUGACUGCCCAACCGACCAUAGCACGAUGGUAAAUGAAUAUGCAUGAAUUACUAUAUUAUGAACAUUAACAUCUUUAUCAAAUACCUCAAUAGGGAACUAGAUACAUAUUUAGACAUGCUUGAAUAUCACUUAAUCGGAAUGAAUAAUAUAGACAUCCUUAACUGCUAAGAGUAGAACCACUUUGCAGCCUCUCUCAGGCUGGAAAGAAAGGGAAGUAAUGACUUUUAGUAGAACAAAACAACAUAUAGAGAAGUAUUUGUACCUCCCUUUUAAGAAAAUAUCAACAAGUCUCUCUCUAACUAUCAUUCUUUAAAUCAGAUAACAUGCAAAACUCGAGGUCGUAAUUUAAUAAGGAGCUAGUUGAAAAUGAAUUGUUGCAUGCUUCUAUAAGCAACUUUGCUUCCAAAUUCACCCAAAGGACAAAACUGAGAUGUGCAUGCAGUGUCAUGUCAAAUUAUUUUCCUAAACACUGAAACUUAAGGCGCUUGACCCAUUAAAACAUUGCCUCAACUUAAUAUAGGCGCAACAACUACAAGUUGCUAAAUGUCUAAAGCCCAAGUUGAAGAAACAGUUGAAAUAUUUAAGUGAGCAAGUCGCCAGAAAGAAAAAUAGGAAAUUAUAAGGUCACCAUUUAAAAAUACUAAAAGUAACCAAAGCAAUUACAUCUCAUUCAGCACCUUUCUUCAAUAGACACAAAAGACAUGUUGUUGCUUUCUUUUCUUUCCAUUUGAUACCAAAGCAAGGUUGGCGAAUAAAAAUAUUUCAUGGACUCAGUACCUAAUAUCAAUUAACCAUUAGGGUAUCAACUUUAACUUCUGCAUUCCAUAGAUGUGUAAGAAAUGUUAUAGACUUGUUCUCUUUGUAAACUGCAUAUUCUCCAGAAAGCACAAUCUUAUUUAUUUGUGUAUGUAUUUUUUUUUAACAACUAAUCCACCGGAUCGCCUGAGUAACUCUACCUUAAGGCGAAGCCAGGACUUCAAGCUUAUGGAAUAACAUUACAUUUACGUAUCGUUACUUGGAUCAUGCCAAAAGAAAGAAGGAUUAACCUUAAUAUACCUGGAGUAGCGAAAACUCCGUAUGAUAUUCUUGGAGAAGAUUACACCGUAUUCCUAUAGAACUGCAAAAUUUGGAUGGAAUUAAGCUUCUGUUCUUUGAAGUAUUUGAACUAGGAAAAUGAAAAUGUUUCUUGCUUUUUAUGAAUUAAGAACGUCUGUUCGCUCUUUUGUCCCAAUGGAAAGGGAUAAGACUUGUAAUAAGUCUUUACAUUAUUAAAUUCUAAUAAUACUUAGGUAGCCACCUAGGAUUAUAGACUACUUAGUCAUUUUUGUAGGUUUAUGGCUCCAUGUCAGGUUUUUUUGGGAGGAAAAUUAAUCUUAUCUCAUAUUUUAGUAGUUAACUAGGUAAUGUCCCGUUACCCGGUAAUUAAUUAAUUACCCGUAUAAUUAAGAAUUAUCUUAAAUUAUUUAAAAUUUUACUUAUUUUUAAUAUACUUUAUACAUCAUACUACCGUGAUCAUAUAGUACCUUGCAUGGUACUAGUUCAUAAUUAUCGGGUAUUAUGCUCGACCCGUAUUUUAUCCCAAAUUGGCCACUUUCAACGAAAUUCGUUUUUUUUAAUUCGUGUACCCUUUAUCCUUCAUGACACUUAUUUAUCGCUUGUUAUAAAUAGCGUAUAUACUUUAACCUAAAGAUAAUCUCACCCCCCGAGUCUACGUCAAUUAACUGAAGACGAAACUUUUAACGUACGAAAAUGCGAGAUGUAACAUCCUUCCCCCCUUAGAAACAUUCGUCAUCGAAUGUUUAAACUUGCAAGAUGUACAUACAUAUGCAUCUAUUAUAAAUAUAUAUAUCUUCCCGGGCUAAACUCGAAUGAAAUAAAUAUCAGGCUGUCACGGGGUCAGGACGUCAUCCCUCCCUAAAAUUACUUCCUAAUACAUUUGUCACCUAUGAUUCUGUUAAUCUAUCUUCUAGGCGCUGACACUUAUUAGUUGUAAUCUUAAUAACCGGGUUCAUUCUUUGCUUUCAAGCUAGCUUUGGUUUCCCUUAAGUCUUCAGACGUAAUGCCAACUUACUCUUACAUUAAUCAUAUUAACUGGACAAUUUGCGUUAAUAAGAUCCAACAUUACCAAUAAUUACAAUACCUGACACAUCAUCCGGUGUAGCCUCUGGGUCAUGACGACCUGCCAAAGCAUAUAUGCGAUUCUGACUAUCGCCGGAGCUAGAUGCUCCACCCCUGCCUCUACCUCUAUUAGUUGAUGCCUGAGGGCCUCGCUCUUGAGGGCGUACUGAAAAGGAGGAGACUGUUAUAGAUCUGGUGGGCUGAACCAUCCCGCUUCUGCCAUUUAUAGGACAAUCCCUCAUGUAAUAACUAGGGUCUCCACAGGUAAAGCAUACAUUAGACCCUUGAUGACAUUAUCCGGAAUGAGCCCUAUCGCAUUGACUGCACCACAUAGGGGGCACCCUCAUUUGCGCUGAAUCCCUCUGAUUCUUAAAACCCGAAAUUCUCGAGCCCUAUCCUGACUCAGAAUAGAUAGAUCCCUCAUAAUACGGCUUUUGCAACUGUCGGACACUUUCAACAGGGUAUGCUAACAUAGGAUCGCCCGAAAAAUCCUCAGGUUGCCUAGCAGACCUAGCCUUCUUAUGCUGACCCCCAACACAAUUCUCGUAUUGCUGUCAUUUUUUAUCCUCUAAAUUCUGAGCAUAAGACUGGAUGCGGAAAAUAUCCAUACCAUCGAGCAGAGCGGCCGUGAAGCAUUCAUUAAUCAGGUGCGGCCCAAGUCCUACCACAAACCGAUGCACUCGGUCACUCAUUUUAGCUACAAUCGAGGGGGAAUACCCUGCCAAGGAAUCAAACUGGAGGCUAUACUCCCACACACUCAUAUUCCCUUGUUUAAGAGCCAAGAACCUGUCUACCCUUGCCUGACGAAUCUUUGUCGGCAAGUAAUGAUGCAAGAAAGCCCCUGAGAACUCUUCCCAUACCGCUGGAGAUGCAUUUAUCCCUCUAGAUGAUUCCCAAGUUUCAUACGACUGAACUGCAACAUCCUCCAAUCAGUAUGAGGCCAACUCUACUGACUCAAUGUCUAAUACAUGCAUUACCCUCAAAUUCCUCUGCAUCCUAUCAAUAAAGUUUUGCGGGUCCUCAUCCUUGUUGGAUCCGGUAAACACUAGAGGGUCCAGGUUGAUGAAGUCUCGAACUCUCACGCUAAUAACCCCGUUAACGUGACCAACACUUGUACCUACCUAGCGCUGAGCCUGAGCGGCUAUCAAUCUAGUCUACAACUGUACUGCACUCCGCAUAUCCAUAUCCUCAUCCUGAACAAUAGGUAGAGGUACUGGGUUCCUCCUCAUCUCCUCGGGUGCUGACAAAAUCUGAGAACUAUGCGAGGCUGUCGUAUUUCCCCUCGGGGCCUCACUGUGGCCCUUGCUAGACAUUGGUACUCUACUCAUGCUCUCAUCUUCCACUACUUUACCUUUCUGACUAGCCGUAGCAUUCCUGGUCAUAGGAAUCGCCAUAUAUAAAACAAGUCAAAAGUCAAGGACUUUAUUCCCUAUGACUCUGCUCUAUUACACGAUCUAAUAUCAAGAAGGAAGGGUAACCGGUCCCUAAAUGCCCUGUAGUAUCUUGCUUAUACAACGUGCUGCACGACACAUUUAUAAACAAGAUUCUACUAGACACAGCUUGCAGACAACCCUAGGACAGAACCGCUCGGAUACCACUUUGUCACGACCCAAAUCAGAGGGCCACGACGGGCACCCGGUGCCUACUCAACCGAGCGCCACAUACCUUAUUUUGUUUUUCUAUAAGACUCACCAUGAUAGGCCACAAUCAUAUAUAAUUAAUAAUAUAAAACUUAACUCACAUAUCUAAUUCAAAAAGAUUUAUAUAGAUACAUAUGGGCCGACAAGGACGUUGACAUGUCGUACCUAAAGCUAUACACAAGACGUUGUCUGCAAAACCUUUAAGAAAACAUGAUCAUGAUAUAUAAGUCGGGACAGGGUCCCCAACAUCUUCAUAAAAUAAAGUAACACAUAUAGAACAUGACUCGGCAAUACUCCGGAAAGAUGUGGAGCUCACCAACCAAGAGUUGAUAUCUGGAGGCAGCCUACAGUGGGUGGUCCUCAGCUCACCUAUCUACACCUGCGUGGCAUGAAACACAUCGCCCCAGGAAAAGGGACGUCAGUACAAAGAAUGUACCGAGUAUGUAAGGCAGAAAUGAAACGUAAUAAUAAUAAUAAGAUACUAUCUCGGGGAGAGAUAAGAGUCAACUUAUAACUUUUGACUUGCCGCUGAGGGCCGUAACAUGUAGAAUAAAACCCAUUUGUAUAUAUAAAUAAAACUACGAUAUAAUAGUUCUGAUUACAUCAUUCACGUGGCGUUAAUCGCCCAGCUGAUCAGUGGUAACUGCCCGACCGGCCUUCGCACGGUGGUAAACAUAUGACUGCCCAACCGGUGGUAAAUAAUGAUACAUAACUGCCCAACCGAUGGUAACUGACCGACCGGCCGUAGCAAGGUGGUAAAUGCAUGACUGCCCAACCGGCUGUAGUAUGGUGGUAAAUGAAUAUGCAUGACUGUCCAACCGGCCGUAGCACGAUGGUAAAUGAAUAUGCAUGAAUUACUAUAUUAUGAACAUUAACAUCUUUAUCAAAUACCUCAAUAGGGAACUAGAUACAUACUUAGGCAUGCUUGAAUAUCACUUAACCGAAAUGAAUAACAUAGACAUUCUUAACUGCUAAGAGUAGAACUACUUUGCAGCCUCUCUCAAGCUGGAUAGAAGGGAAGUAAUGACUUUUAGUUAAACAAAACAACAUAUAGAGAAAUAUUGGUACCUUCCUUUGAAGAAAAUAUCAACAAGUCUCUCUCCAGCUAUCAUUCUUUAAAUCAGAUAACAUGCAAAACUCAAGGUCGUAAUUUAAUAAGGAGCUAGUUGAAAAGGAAUUGUUGCAUGCUUCUAUAAGCAACUUUGUGUACUACCAAAUUCACACAAAGGACAAAACUGAGAUGUGCCUGCAGUGUCAUGUCAAAUUAUUUUCCUAUAAACACUGAAACUUAAGGCGCUUGACCCAUUUACAUUUUGCCUCAACUUAAUAUAGGCGCAGCAACUACAAGUUGCUAAAUGUCCAAUGCCCAAGUUGAAGAAACAAUUGAAAUAUUUAAGUGAGCAAAUUGCCAGAAAGAAAAAUAGGAAAUUAUAUGUCACCAUUUAAAAAUAUUAAAAGUAACCAAAGCAAUUACAUCUCAUUUCGCAUCUUUCUUCAAUAGACACAAAAGACAUGUUGUUGCUUCCUUUUCUUUUCAUUUGAUACCAAAGCAAGGUUGGCGAAUAAAAAUAUUUCAUGGACUCAGUACCUAAUAUCAACUAAUCAAUAGGGUACCAACUUUAACUUUUGCAUUCCAUAGAUGUGUAAGAAAUGUCAUAGAUUUGUUCUCUUUGUAAACUGCAUAUUCUCCCGAAAGCACAGUCUUAUUUAUUUGUGUAUGUAAUUUUUUUAACAACUAAUCCACCGGAUCGCCUGGGUAACUCUACCUUAAGGCCGAAGCCAGGACUUCAAGCUUAUGGAAUAGCAUUACGUUUAUGUAUCGUUACUUGGAUCAUGCCAAGAAAAAGAAGGAUUAACCUUAACAUACCUGGAGUAGGGAAAACUCUGUAUAAUAUUCUUGGAAAAGAUUGCAUAGAAUCGCAAAAUUUGGAUGGAAUUAAGCUUUUGUUCUUUGAAGUAUUUGAACGAAUUAACUUCUGUUCUUUGAAGUAUUUGAACUAGGAAAAUGGAAAUGUUUCUUGCUUUUUUUUUUUAAUUAAGAAUGUUUGUUUGUUCUUUUGUCCCAAUGGAAUGGGAUAAGACUUGUAAUAAGUCUUUACAUUAUUAAAUUCUAAUAAUUCUUAGGUGGCUACCUAGGAUUAUUGACUACUUAGUCAUUUUUGUAGGUUUGUGGCUACAUGCCACGUUUUUUGGGAGGAAAAUUAAUCUUAUAUAGUUAACUAGGUAAUGUUCCGUUAUCCGAUAAUUAAUAAAUUAUGCUUAUAAUUAAGACUUAUCUCAAUUUACUUAAAAUUUUACUUAUUUUUAAUAUAUUUUAUACAUCAUAUUACCGUGGUCAUAUAGUACCUUUUAUGGUACUAGUUCAUAAUUAUCGGGUAUUAUCGUUUGACCCGUAUUUUAUUCAAAAUUGGCCACUUUCAACGAAACUCGUUUUCUUUAAUUCGUGUACCCUUUAUCCUUCAUGACACUUAUUUAUCGCUUGUUAUAAAUAGCGUAUAUACUGUUAACCUCAAGAUAAUCUCACCCCCGAGCCUACGUCAAUUAACUGAAGACGAAACUUUUAACGUACGAAAAUGUGAGAUGUAACAGUGUCGAAAGCUUUGUUGCAAAAAUGUAGACCCCAUCACUUAUAAUAGCCCGCGGAAUACCAAACCUUGUAAAAAUAUUCUUCUUCAAGAACACCACCACACUUCUUGCCUCAUUAUUGGGUAGAGCAACAGCCUCAACCUAUUUGGACACAUAAUCCACCAUAACCAAGAUGUAGGUGUUUCCACAAGAGCUCACGAAAGGACCCAUAAAGUCAAUACCCCACACAUCAAAAAUAUCGAUCUCCAAAAUGGUAGUGAGAGAUAUUUCAUUUUUCUUUGAGAUUCCACUGUCCCGUUGACAUUCAUCACAUCUUUUUACUAACUCACUUGCAUCCUUGUAAAGAGUGGCCAAUAGAAGCCGCAGCUAAGCAUUUUGGCUGUUGUUCUUGCUCCACCAUGAUGACCACUAUAUGUUGAAGAAUGACAUGCCCUAAGAAUUUCACCUUCCUCUUCUUCCGGUACACAUCUUCUAGUCACCCCAUUCGUACAAAUUCGGAAAAGGUAUGGCUCAUCCCAAUAAUAAUCUUGACAGUCCUGUUUGAGCUUCUUACUUUGGUUUGAAAAGAACUCAUCCGGAAUGAUUACACACACAAGAAAAUUUGCUAGAUCCGUGAACCAUGACACAUCUUUCAUUGAAAUAGCCAAGAGUUGCUCAUCCGGGAAGGAGUCAUUGAUUUCAAGGCCAUCAUGCGGCCUUCCCUCAUCCUCCAAACGAGACAAGUGGUCUGCCACUUGAUUUUUACUCCCUUUUCUAUUUUGGAUGUCAAUAUCAAACUCUUGCAACAAAAGCACUCAUCUCAUCAACCGAGACUUGGAGUCCUUAUUGCUCAUAAGAUAUUGAAGCGUCGGAUGAUCUGUGUGGACAAUGAUUCUUGCACUCAUCAAAUAUGGGCGGAACUUCUCAGUUGCAAACACAAUGGCAAGUAGCUCUUUCUCCGUAACGGUAUAGUUGACUUGAGAACUAUUUAUGGUCUUACUAGUAUAGUAUACAAGAUAAAAUUUCUUGUUAAUGCGUUGCCCCAAAACAACCCCAAUCGCUAUGUCACAUGCAUUGCACAUGCGUUUAAAAGGGACACUCAAAUUUGGAGCGAUGAUGAUGAGAGUAGUUGUCAACUUGAACAUUAACAAUUCAAAAGCUCUCAUGCAAUCAUCAUUGAAGUUAAACUUAGCAUCCUUCUCAAGAAGCUUGCGCAACGGGUUUACCACCUUAGAGAAAUCUUUGAUGAAACAUCGGUAAAACCCCGCGUGGCCUAAGAAACUCCGAAAACCCUUCACCGAAGUUGGAGGUGGAAGUUUAUAAAUCACCUCAAUCUUUACCUUGUCAAAUUCAAUUCCAUUCUUAAAGAUUUUGUGUCCAAGGAUAAUGCCUUCCUCGACCAUGAAAUGACACUUCUCCCAAUUGAGCACCAAGUUUGUUUCUUCAUAUCUUGCCAAUUCUUUAUCCAAAUUUGCAAGACAAUUAUCAAAAGAAUCUCCAACCACCGAGAAGUCAUCCAUGAAAACUUCAAGGUAGUCCUCCACCAUGUCCGUAAAAAUAGCCAUCAUACACCUUUAAAAAGUCAUCGGUGCAUCGCACAAGCCAAAUGGCAUCCGCUUGAAAGCAAAAGUACCAUAGGGACUGCGAGCACGUAAUUGUUUCCCCACUUAAGAUUGCUCCUAAAAAGUCCAAAAAUAGUCUUCUAAUUAGCUUUGAGUUUUACAGAAUUUCUAAGGAUUUUUCUCUAUUUUUGUUAUGUUCACUUUUAUGCCAUUUAAUUGCAUUUUCAUAAUUAGAAGCAUUUUAAAUCAUGAAAAAAAUAAAAAAUAUUUUUUUCUUUACAUUUUUGGAUUUUCAUUGCAUUUCCUUAAGAUAUAAAAAAUCACAAAUAAAUAACACUUUCGAUUACCCUUAUUUUAUGCAUUUUAGUUAAUUAAUUAAUCAAUUAAUUAAAAUCAUUAGGUCACAAGUUUGGUUAGUAGGUCAAAUUUGCAAAAAUAGUUUCAAGUAGAAUUAGGUUGACUUGAUUUGAAAAAUGGAAUAAAGAAGAAGAGAAUGGGCUCUCAACCUUCGUUUUGAGCUAAGCAGCUUUAAUGGCCCAUUUACAUUCCACAUACAUGCCCAAACCCAUUACCUAGCUAGUCCUGUCCCUAUAUUAAUCCAAACGACCCCGUUUUGCAACAUUCAAUCCCCACCCUCCACCAUUCCCCAUCCAACGGUCCGCAACACCCCUCUUCUAACCCAUAAAAAUGUCGGACCAUAGACCCCUACCCCCCUAAAUCGUCUCAGACUCAUCUCUCUCACCCCUCUCUUAUCCCUCACCGUCCGCCACCGCCGAAAAUCGCCUACAGAAAUGGCGCCACUCCAAAUCAUCCCAAAUUAACACCACACAAUCCUCACCCCCCAUCAAAUCUUAACCCCUUACCUAUUUCCCCAAAAUUCCCAUCAAACUCGUCAAAUUUCGGAUCUAAGAAGUCACAAAAAACCUAAAUCUACCCCAUUUCGAGUUUCUUCAAAUUCUAGCCUACCUAAGUUUCAUACCAACAAUAAUUGAACACUUUUAUCGAGAGUUAUCAAUUGGAGUCGAUUUUGGACCUAUUUUAGGCCACCCGAAUCUGGCCACUACCACAAAACCCCCAUAAUGUUGAUUUCUUUGCCGGUAUAUGACAGACAUCGUCAUAUAUAGCAUUGGCUACGCCUCAAAUGUGGGCUAAUGCUCAUGUAACAAUGUUGGCUGUUAGCCGGGUAUCUUUUUUGGGUAGACUUAUCGUCAAAGGAUAAUCCUUCUUUCGUUUCUUUGAUUACUGCCUAUUUGAGGUUAAUGGAUUGACAUUUUGUGUUACAUAUCAUAGAUUAGGUUUAUUUCACAAUUAACAGCAUGUUUUUAGUAUUGUCUUCAACUUUUGUUAAAUUAAUCAAUUGAUAUGUUGAUUGUUAGUACAUCUUCUCGUAUGUUAGCAUGCUCUAGAUUAGUUAGGAUUUCAAAAUUUUGUGAUUAGGCCAAUAUUUUAAAAGCAUAGCAGUCGAUUUUAAUUAGGUUAGAGUCACUUCAAUUGGUUAAUUACAUGUGUGAAUUAGUUUAAUUACCUAAAAUAGGUUAAAGUUCGAAUAUUGCUUGUUGUGCUGUGAUUUUUUAAUUCAUUUAAGUUUUAUGAUAGCUAUUUGUAAGUACUAAAAUUCGGGGGUCUAAAAGAAGUAGGAAAACAAAGGAAUCUGUUUUAUUUAGUUGGAAAUGCAUUAAGAUGGGAGAAUAAGUUUAAAACUUGGGGUAAAAGUUGAAGUUUCAAAAGUUUAAAACGUGAUGGGAACAAAGAAAAAAUAUCUGAAAAGGGACAUCUGUCCAAUUCAGUUAAAAAGAUGCCUUAUCUCCUAGUUUUUAGUUGACAGAAUUUUCUGCAUUCCUCUCUGAAUUUUUCCUCACAAAGGCACGCUCCUACACUCUAUAUAAGAGGUCAUAUAUCACUCACUCAUACACACGAAUCAGACUACAACUUUCAAAGAUCUUUCAUUUUUCUCCACCCUCAUUUUCAGUAGAAAAACUUCUGAAAUUUCAGUCCUAAAAUCUCUAAAAAAAACUAAGAGAGAAAAGGUUCAAGGCUUUUUUCUGAGUUCAAAUCUUCUGCUACAAGUUCUGAGUUUAUAGCUGUUGAGGUCAAAGAAGUGUCACUGUUUUGUUGGAUUUGAAGUUUCGAUUGCUCCUUGUUUCCCUGUUGCUAUUUCACUACUACUAGGUGUAUUUAUCCAUCUUGUUAGUUUCUACUUGAACUAUAAAUGAAAUUAGGUUGUUUAUGCUAUACUCUUGCAGUGUUUAUCAUAAUUUUAGCAUGUGUAAAGUCCAAAUCUGUUGUGGUUUCAUUCUUGUUAAUCUGUGCAAUUGUUGGAAUGUUAAGAUCACGUGAGCAGUUUGUUGAAUGUUAAUAAGUGAUUUAACAUCUGUUUGAAUGUCAUUUUGUUCCUUUCUUUUUCUUUGAAAUGUGUGUGGGUUUCACAAUGUUUACUUCAUUGUGAAGUGAUGCAGGAAUUUGGUUCAUGUUUUAUUUCAAUUUGCUCAGCAUAGUGUUUUUAACAAGUGAGGAUAGCUUUGUAGUUAUUCUUUCACAAAGCUUUAACAAGCCAAGAGGAUCAUGAGAUGUGGUGAUUACAGAGAACUAGUUGUUCAUUUGAAUAUGUAACUAGCUUAAAGUAUCAUCUUAAUGUGUAUCCUAUAACAGAUUUUCAUAUGUAUGAAUUAGUUGUCAAUUGUGUUUAAAUCUAGCAUCAAUUUAGUUUGUUGAAAGUAUUUAAUCAUGGUUCAAUUAGUUUAGUAGAUUAAUUAUGCAUGUUUUUAUUUUUGGCCAACCAUGUGCUUGUGAAUAAAUGUGUAAUUGCAACAAAAUUUCCUUAGGAAAGCUUAUGGAAUUUUUCUUAGUUCAUUUGGGCCUUCGCUUGAGGGCCAGACUUCAAAAAGAAGUCAGCAGUGGAAGGUCUCACAGCUGGGCUUUAUAUGAAAGCCCAUUUGGAUGUCAGUCACCCUCAUGGUCGACUUAGUCUCUUUAAAUAAAUGUGAUUGGCCCUUUUUCUUACGAAUUAAUUCAUUUGACUUCCUUUCAUUUAGUCAAGUAAAUGAAUCUGCUAAUGGAUCCAGUAGCUAAUCUUACAAGGAAUUUUCCAUAAAUCAUGACCUCACAACAAAUCUCAAAGUAGUUUAGGAAAAUAAUUCUAAAUAUUGUAGUUUGCUUUAGGCGCGACUAAUAAUAAAUCAUCGUAACUAUGGGUACAAUUCCCGUGGCAUAGUCAUAAUACGUAAUCCCCAAUUCGAGUGUGCGUUUCACGUGACUCGACCAUAACUUCAAAUAAUAAUAAAAAUUAACAUGUUAUAAAUCGCCGGUGCGUUUCACGUGGCGCGAUUCUCAAUGUGUACCAAAACAAACGAGUGCGCGACAUUUCGACUUGUUCAAACAAAUUCCAUAAUUACUAAAAGCGAUUAAAAAGCAAAAAAUACACAAUAUGUUUCAAAUAUGUAUUAAAUCAGAUAAUUCGGCCAAUUAUUAAAUAGUUGAGCGACCGUGCUAAAACUAACAAAACUCGAAAAUGCCUAACAUCUUCUCCCGGGUUAACAAAAUUUCUUAUUCAAUUUUCUAGUUUUGCAGACUUUUUAAACAGAGUCAAAUUUCCUCGAUUUGAGAUUUAAAAAAUAAACUAGUGAAUUGGGACACCAUAAAUUAUUCCAAGUGGCGACUCUGAAAUAAAUAAUCCCAUUUCGAUUAAUGUCACUUUAAUUGGAAAAACUCCAUAUCACUUCGGGCUCGUAUGUUGGUUUCGGAGCCCGGUACAUGUCGGAUAUGUCAUUUAAGACUUGUUCGCAAAAUUUGGUGUCAAUCCGAGUAGUUUUAGGGCGUUUCGGCUCGUUAGGGGAAAAUUAAGAACUUGAAGUUAAUAAGUUUGAUUCAUUUGGUUUUAGGGGGUGACUCUUAGAUUUAGCAUUGUUUCGGGUGUUCCGAAGGUUCAAGUAGUUCCGUCUCGUGAUUUCAGACUUGUCGGUAUGUUCGAGCGGGACCCGAGAUCCCUGAGCAUCAAAUGGACGAGGUUCGAGUGAAGUUGAGAAUUUGUAGAAGUGCUGAAGCAUCUGCUUCUGUCAUAACCGCACAUGCAGUUGGUCGACUGCAGAAGCGGUCGUAACCUCACAGAUGCGGCUUAGAGCUGGCCAGGCCAAACCGCAGAAGCAGCUCCUUAGCCGCAGAAGCGGCUUCGCAGAUGCGGCUUCAAGACCGCAGAAGUGGUCCUAGUCCUUUUAGCCAAUUCCGCAGAUGCGGUCCCCUGACCGCAAAUGCAAAAACUGCUGAAGCAGUGAGCUUCAUUUAAGUUGAGCUCCAGCCAUUUUGACCAUGUGAUACUUGGGUAUUGAGCGAUUUUGGAGAUCUUGAGAAGGGAUUCCCACAUAGCAUCGUGAGGUAAGUUCAUCCCCCUUAUUUCUAUAUUUAACACUCGAGUUUUGGGUAGAUUAACACCUAAAGAUUUGGAGAAAUCAAGGGGGAUUAGAGCUAGAUCUAGGGUUUUAAUGAAACUUAGAUUUUACCACAAAAUUGGUUAUGAAAUGGAUUAAAAAUCAUAUAUUAUUGGUUCUUAGGUUAUAGAGAACAACUUCCUUCGGAAAAUUUUGGAAUCCGGGCACGUGGGCCCGGGGUCGGAUUUUUGGAAACUUGUAUUAAUGGUUGGGAAAUGGCUUAAAUAGCUAGAAUUCGAUCUUGUGAGCUUAUAUUGACUAGUUCCUACCUCAUUUAACUAGUUUUGGAUCGUUCGGCUCUAAAUUGAGAGUUUGGGCUCGUUCUUAUUAUUGGAAGUGCACUUUGGAACGAAGUGAGUCUCCUUUCUAACCUUGUAAGAGGGAAUUGUUCCCAUAGGUGUAAUAAUUGAAUAAUUUGCUGCUAAAUGCGGGGGCUACGUACGUACUAGGUGACGAGAGUCCGUGUAUAGCUACUAUUAUGUCAAUUGUCCGGGAAGUCUAGGACCCGUAUCAUGUUAUAUUUGUGAAUGUCUCUAUAUUUUCUUGCUAAUGUGAUCACUUAGGGCAUGCUAGAGACUUGGAAAGGAAUAUAAGCGAAUGUAUGCACUUGUUGGACACUUGUAUGAAUUUACGUGGAAUUAAAUGCGCAUUCAUGUGUUUUCUUGAUAUUAAUUGACAUUUAUGGAUCGGGCCGAUCACCUCGGUAGAAAUAGAUGCAUCUAUGGUUCGCGUCAUUCGACCCUCUGGCAGUUCACAAUUUAUUUUCUGUUGGAUCAGGCCGUCGACCUCGGCAUAGUGUGCACAUGAUAUCUAUGUGAAAUCUUAUCCAUGACUCGACCUGCUAAAUAUCUGAAAUGUAAAUGGCUAUUUGUAAAUUGUUAAGAACAUGAAAUAUUACCUCUUGCUACCAACUGUUGAUUAUUUGUGACUCUCAUGCUUAGCGUAACACUUCAUUAUAUUAUUUGACCUUAGUAAGUAUCAAGUCGACCUCUCGUCUCUACUUCUUCGAGAUUAGACGGGAUACUUACGGGGUACAUAUUUUAUGUACUCAUACUACACUUCUGUACUUAAUUGUACAAGAUUUGAGGCAGGUACAUCUGGCUAGCAGUCUAGUGUGCGCCCCUGAUUCAUAGUCCGAGACUUCCGCGGUGAGCUGCCCCUUCCUGUGCUGUUCAGCAGCUUGAUGGAGUCUCUCUUUAUCUAUUUUUGUUGUCUAUUCUAUUUCGGACAGUAGGAUGUAUUUAUUCUUUUGUAUAUUCUACUAGUUGCCCAUAACUUGUGACACCAGGUCUUGGCACACACAUUAGUAGACGUUUCUUUUGGGUUGUAUAAUUAUUAUCGAAUGUUGCAUAUUAUCACCUAUUUUUAAUUGCAAAUUAAGAAAAUGUUGUAACUGUUUUGGGUAAGUAAAAUAAGAGUUUACUAAUACUUCCGCAUUGGCUUUCCUGACAACGGUGUUGAGCGCUAUCACGAUCUGUAAUGAAAAUGGGUCGUGACAACUGUUAUACUUGGCUUUUGAUUAUUUUUUGAUUUUUUUACAUAUUUGGGCCUAAUGUGCUAAAUGCCGCAUUUUACCGCUUUGAUAUUGAUUGAAUUGUAUAUAAACUGUUACGAAACCCUCUUCUCUCUAAGUCUUCUGAAUCUUCUGGGAAGCAUGCGCUUCGCGUGGAUUCUUUUCUAUUAGAGUCAUAUCCCAAUUUUAGAAUGAGGUUCGAAAAAGUUGCAAAGUCGGUGAAGCUUCUAUAAUCCCGGUACGCUGCCCCCUUCCCCCGGCUCGAGUUGUUCGCUCGGGUAAGCCAGGUCUAGAACAAUACACCCAGGUUUUAAACAUAUAAUAACAUAGCCUCAUGCCUGAUCCCUAGUAGGUACGUUUGUUUGCAUUACGUGCAUUUGACUUUGGGGACUCAACACAGGGGUUGGGUCCAUCUAAGACAGGUGUACCCAAAAUUAAAAGAUCAUCCUGAUGCAUUUUAUGUGCCACUUGUACAUAUAUUUGCUUCGGCUUGCAUGUUGACUGACUUCUAGAAUGGGGAAGAAAAAUCAAGAUAAACCAAGAUUGAGGUAGGAGAGAGAAAUCACCCAUUUCUGAAAACCCCGGUAUUCAAAAUAUCCCGAAACUCUGUCGAAAUUUUGAAAAAAGAAAAGAAAAGAAAAGUCAUUUCGAAAUAAGUUAUAUUUUCCUGUUGCAUCAAAACUUACUGAACUACGUGGGUUUGAUUCCCACCGGACGUGAGAUACGUAGACAACCUUCAUCAGGUUCAGCCCUAUUUUUGCAAAAAUAGCCAAAAUAUAAAAAUGCUGCCAUUUUGUCAUAAAUAAAGUCAGGUGAUGCCGUUUUUGUCCAAAAUAGCCAGAAAUGUCCCGAUGGGAUGCCGGAAGGCUAUUUUUGCAAGAAUAGCCACCUUGGGCCCUCUUUCUAAUUUUAGGCCACUUAGCGGGCACAACCUUAAAAUCUUCCCUUCUGAAGUGCUAAAGGGCCAUAUUUGCAAAAGUAGCCAUGAUUUGUUUUAAGUUAGAUUUUAUAAUAAAUAGUCUUUUCAUGGUUAGUGUUUUAAUAAAAAUUCACAUGCUUUAACGAGUCAUCCUAAUUUAAAAAUGUGCAGAAUGAGCCCCAUUGAGAACCUACCUUUUUGAGUCGUAGAUGAGAUUCCACUAAGACUCUACAUGUGGUGGAACGACCUGGGGGAGGUCAGCUAGCGUUCUGUGACCAAAGCUUUAGGUGGGCUCACCGGUCUUUUGAAGAUUAAACCCAGGGUUGACAUAAUUGAAGCUUUGAUUCCGUUUUGGACCCGACAUACAAUAUUUUUCACUUCUCUGACUUUGAAUGGACCCCUACUCUAUAGGAGAUGACAUGUUAUGCUGGUCUUGAUGGGAAUCUCAGGCACCAAUAUCCAGUAGCACUAAUGACUAUAACCCCUCAUAAGUUUUCGGACCUUCUGAGCAUUAACCGGCAGGUUAAAGAUGAAAAUUUGGUAGGAGGAUUCUGCACAUUCCACUUCUUAUACAGCUGGUAUGGGAACCCCCACAAAUUUGAGGCUUCGAAUACUAUUUUGAGUUAAUAGGAAAAUAAAAACAAGUGGGAAGCACACAGAGGUUUAGCCUUCGUAGUUGCAUUUUUAGGCACUCCGAUAUGCCCAAGGAGUGACAGAAAUAUAGAACUGGGACUUGCAGGAAUGGCCGACUUUAUGGUCAAAAAGGCCAACUGUACUCUUAUACCAAUGAUUCUCGCAUAAAUCUAUCGAGCUUUAACCGCCUGUCGAGCUGGUGCAAUGUUCUUUGAGGGUUGCAACUUGCUUUUGAAAAUGUGGCUGGUGGAACAUCUCUACCAUCGCCCUAGGUACAUGAACUACGGAUUGACCGUACUCAAUUGUGUUGAAAAAUAUGGAAACCGGGUAAACGGCUAUGAGUUGCCCGAGGGUACUGAAGCAUGGUUCGCAUAUUUGGGUUCUUUGACCACAAAGCAAAUUGAGUGGACUUUCAGUUGGCUCCCGGUCCACGAGGUUAUUUACAUGUCCAUCGGGGUGUGCUUUAUCUUACUGAUGGGUCUUCGGAGUAUUCAGCCAUAUGCUUCUAUGCCAAUUGGGAAGGUAUCAAACAAUCCCUCACGAUGAAGAUCUAAGUCCACAAGUGAUUGAUCUAUGCCCAAAGGCCGCAUUCCCAAAAGAAAAGGUUCGCCAGAUUUGGCACCAAUGUAGGUUUCUAAAGCCACAAACUCAAGUGCGGGAUUUUUCCUCAAGUGAAGUAGAAUCUAACUACACGGCAUGGUAUGGUAAGAGAGUUCAGGUCGAUAAAGAUCCAGAACAGACCCCCAAAAAGCCCCAUGUCCAACAAUUCACCAACGGAGCGCAAGAACAGUGGGUUUGUUUAGCUAAAGAGAAGGACUACCGGACCACCAUAAGCAAACUAGAAGAUCAAGUCAGAAACCUCAAAUUUGAUAGUAGUUUGCAGGCUGCCGAGGAUGAAGGAGAAAAGAAAAGGUUGGCUCAGGAAAACGAAGCCCUCCGAGCUCAUAUUCAGAAAAUGAAAAUAGCCGCUGAAACCCUGGCAAGAAGCGAAAUAGAUGAAAGACUCAUGAGAAAUCUGAGGCAAAAAGUGCAUGAUUAUGGGUUUGAUCUAACAAAGGCCGAGGAUGAAUUGGAAAAAGCUCCGCUAAAGUUGGCAAAAAGUGCAGAAGAACGGACAAGGUUUGCUCAGCAGUUAAAGCAAAAGUAUGAUAGAUGGGUCACGGUCUUAAGGGAAAAGCUGACUAAUCACGAAAAUAAAAUGGUCCAACAGACAAAGGAUUUCAAAACUAAAAGAGAGCAUUGCUAUACAUUGAUUUCCCGAUUGGAAGAAGGCAUGUAGUAGUUACAGGACCAAAACCAUAUGACCACACAGGUGUUGGAGGCUCGGACACAACAAAUUGGAUGCAUGCUCCAAGAAAAGGGUGUCAUUAGAAUGAGGAUAAAAGAAAUCGCUUAUUAUAUUGCAAUGAAGUGUCAUGAAUGUGAAGUUAUGACCCGGUCCAUGUUCUUUGAUUCUGUGAUGACCUUUGUCCGUCAGGUGAUGGCUGAUUUAGAGUACCAUCAAGAAGAGAUUGCACGCAGGCCCUCGUCAAGACUGACUGAUGUCCCACGAGCUCCCGAAGUAGCAUUGGAGGCUCUUAUGUAUUCUUGACUUUUUUUGGCUUUGAGUUUGUAUUCUACUUUUUCGAGUCUGUUCAUCUUUUCCAAGUCUGUUUGUUCUUUUGUUUUGACUUUAUAUGUUUUUUUAAUCGUUAGUAUUUCCAAGUCUUUAUAAUAGAAAAACCCAAAAAUAUUUUUAUUUAAUGAAAUAUUGAAAAACCCAAAUUUUGUCUUUUCUUUUAUUCCACAUUUGUUCCAUGAGCUACGUAAUGGUCUGAUUCAUACGGCGUCAUGAUACAUAGACAAUUCCCAUCUGAUUUGAUCAUAGCCAUAGACAAUUUGAGUGAAAAAAUAAACUGAAAAAAGAGAAGAAAGAAAAGAUUAAAAUUGAGUGAAAAAGAAAAAAGGUGAGUGAAAAAAUAAAAGAGCAAAAAGAGAAGGGAAAAGAAAUUAGGAUUUGAAAUUUGAGAAAAGAGACAGCAAAGCCGGGAUGAAACAGGCAGCCGUUGCAAAAACAUUUAGAAAUGUUUAACUGUUCAGGUGCAUUGCAUCCCCAAUAUGUGAGUCCCUAUAUGUUAAAUGUCUCAAACUAACCAGGUUGUUGUGUGUGAAAAUUGAGUAGGUCCUGUUUAGGUGGUUGGUUUUGUGGUAAUCUGGCUUCCCAUCCUUACUUCACAAGAUCUAAAGGUAGUGUUCCUAUGGCCUCCAAAAGUCAACUGCCAAUUAUUGAUCCUGAGGAUAGCCCAGUAUCGGCUAUUCUACAACCAGAGUCAGCAACCGCUAAAGAAAAUAAGAGGUUGUGUGUCCGUAUGUUAGAGAUGUGGGGCGCUUGGUCCAACGGCAAAGAACCACCUAGUACAAUCCCCGAAUUUCCUCAACUAAUUCCCAGGAGAGUGGAACCACUAACAUCCCCAUCCCCAUGAUCAACCCAUUCGUCCCGUUUGGGUACCCCACUAUAUCAGCCAAUUUUACCAGUAUGCCUUCUGAGGUUCUUCUUAGGCGCUAUUUUUAGGGGUACCUUCUAUAUUAUUCACCAUACCACCAGUCUCUCCUACGUCACAACCAACAAUGCCCAGUCCAUGCUUCGAGCCUUCAACUUUCACUUUUCAAGGCCCGCAAUUUUAGCUAGACACAACUCAUGUUACCCCAAACUCUUACGCUCAGCACCCAUAAUAUUAGUCUCACAUGGGACAGGAGAGAACAGCGAGAAACCCCCAGCAGGAAGAAAUGGCUCGGAAGAUGAGAAGCCUAGAACAAAGCCUGAAAAGCAUGCAAGGCCUGAGUGGACAUAAGAGUGUCUCGUACUCAGACCUAUGCAUGUUUCCCCAUGUUCACUUUCCUGCUGGUUUCAAACACCAAAAUUUGAAAAGUAUGACGGGCACGGGGACCCAAUCACUCAUCUGAAACGAUACUGUAACCAGCUGAGGGGUGCUGGUGGAAAAGAAGAAUUAUUGAUGGCUUAUUUCGGGGAAAGCCUAACUGGAAUCGCUUUAGAAUGGUACAUGGAUCAGGAAAUCUCCCACUGGCACAUAUGGGACCAUUUGGCCUGCGAUUUCGUCAGACAGUUUCAAUAUGAUGUUGACAUAGCUCCAAACAGGAAUUCCCUAUCUAACUUAAAGAAAAAACCAGUGAGAGCUUCUGUGAAUAUGAUAUUAAAUGGCGUGAGGAGGCUGCCAGAGUAAAGCCUUCCAUGGAUGAAACCGAGAUGGUUACGGUCUUCUUACAGGCCCAGGGGGCCGAUUACUUUCAGAACAUGAUGUCCUUCAUGGACAAACCUUUUGCAGAGGCUAAAAAUCGGAGAAAUGGUGGAAAACGGUCUGAAAAUUGGCCGAAUAUUAAGUCAAUCUUCUUUGAGAGCCUCCUCCUAAGCCAUCCAGAAUGACUCAGAGGGUUUGGACAAUCGAAAGAAGAGGGAGGAAGGAACCAUGAUGGCUUCAGGUUCAAUAGGGCCCCGUCGAUCAUAUGAUCUCUCCUACAUGACGCCCAGAACCGCGCAACACUACUAUCCCCACCAAGAUGCAGUGUAUGCCGUGGCAAUGCCUCCCUAUGCGGUAUUGAAUGCCCAACCAUAUACACGGUCGCAACAGCACUACAACCAAAAUUGAGCUCCACCUCCCAGAAAUAUUCAUCCUCACAAAGCUCUAUAUAACCCCCAACCACUACAAAUAACUACCAACAUAAUUCACGCCCUCGUGAGCCUCUCAAAAGAAACAACUUCACUUAUAUUGGUGAAUCCUACUCUAGCCUAUUUCCGAAGUUAAUCCAGAUGGGUCUAUUGCAACCUGUACUCCCAAACUGGCAAAAUCCUGAAUCCCCAUCAUAUCGACCCGGUACUAGGUUUUCCUACCAUUUUAGAGCAGAGGGUCAUAAUACGGAGGAUUGUUGGACCCUAAAAAGGGCAGUUGAAAGUUUAAUAGAACAAAAACAAGUGGUGCUGAGGGACGGGGAAGUCCCUAAUGUGACUAACAAUCCAUUACUGGCUCACAAUAAUGGGAUGAUCAUUAGAAUGAUCUGUGAUGACAAGGAAUUUAAUCCAGCCUUGAAAGCCAUCAUCGCCAUUGCUGAUUCAGAGGCAAGACCCAAAGCGGCAGCGAAAUAAGCCGGAAAUGAGAAGAAAAUCACUCCAAUUCCUCAAGGUGUAGAAAAAGCUUUAGAAACAUAAACUACAUCAGCCACUUUCUAAGAACACAAUUCUCUAUGUUCCUAAGGCCCCUAGGAAAGAACAACUCAUUUUGAACACUCCCAAAAGAUUCGAACAAAAGAAAGCCAUGUUGAAUGUGCCAAAGUUAUAUGUGCCAAAAGGGGCUUAUGUAACGUGGGGGCUGAUAAUUCCACCAAGGCUGACUGCGCCCGUAGUUAUCAACCGCAUGCCACAGAGCCCUAUGAGAGACUCCACCACAGUCCCCUGGAAUUACAACAAAACAAUAGUUACUUACAAUGGGAAAGAGGUCAUGGGUGAGGUAAACAAAAUGAAUCAAUCUGAGAGAUACCACAACCCAGAAGAGUUACAGAAAUCAAAACUGAACAAGGAGAAACGAUUUCCACCCAAGAAGCUUGUGAGCGCUGAGGAAGCAGAAGAGUUUUUUCGAAAAAUGAAAACUUUGGAGCAUGCAAUAGUUGACCAGCUCCGGAAGACUCCGUCUCAGGUUUCACUUUUAUCUCUUUUGUUGAGCUCAAAUGAACAUCAUAAGGUACUCUUGAAAGCAUUGAAUGAGGCAUAUGUUCCGGUUGACACUUCAGUUGAACAACUGGAAAGAAUGGCUGAACGAUUCCUCGAGGUCAACAGGAUUUCUUUCAGCCGCGAUGAUUUUCCACUAGAGGGAGCUGCCCACGACAAAGCCCUUCACCUGACUAUCAAAUGUGAGGGCUAUUAUGUAAAGAGAGUCAUGUUAAACGGUGGUUCCGGGGUUGACAUUUGCCCCCUCUCAACACUCCAGAGGAUGGAUAUUGGAACAGAAAGAAUCCGACCAAAUAAUGACUGUGUGCGCACUUUUGAUGGUGUCAAGCGAGACAUAAUAGGGGAAAUCGAUUUGAUUCUAACCAUUGGUCCUGUGGAUUUCAAAGUGAAUUUCCAGGUUCUGGACAUGGAUACCUCAUAUAAUUUUCUUUUAGGAAGACCAUGGAUUCAUGCUGCAGGAGCUAUGCCCUCCACUCUCCACUAAAUGGUCAAGUUUGAGCAUGAAAACCAAGAUAUCGUUGUCCAUGGGGAGGAUGAACAAUCCAUUUACAGGUACCCUUCAGAGUGAGCACAUUGUAUACCAAGCCUUCGAGAUUGUGGUCGCCGAUCAAUGCGAAGAAGGGGCCCCAUUCCCUCAGCCUGCUUAUCUAAUGCCUCUGUCAUGGUCGCCAUUAAAAUGAUUAAACAUGGGUAGAAGCCCGGAAAGGGGCUUGGGGUAUCUCUACAAGGCAUCACAGAGCCUAUCACUUUGAUCGCCAAUGAGAAGUUCUUCGGCAUAGGUUUCCAAGCUACAAAUGCCGAUAGAAAAUGAGCUGAUGAGCACAAGGAAAAUGGGUGGGUCCUUCCCCAGCCCGUUUCGCAUCUCGCCAAGUCAUUUGUUAAACUCAAGUAUGUAGAAGAAGAAGAAGAAGAAGAAGAGGCCUUCACAGCCGAAGAGAUUGAGGAUAUUUGUGAAGCCAUGAAACAAAUGUUGUACCACAAUGUCUGUUGGCAGGUCGGCUUUCGGAGUUUGAGUCUCAAGCUAGGGAUCACCACUUCCUUUAGUAGAAGCUCCGAUAUGAAAUAACAAUCGUUAUAGAUAGACUUUGAGAUGCUUGAAUAGCUGCAGCCUAGCCUUUUCGUUAACUAGAUCUCCUACCUCCACUAUUAAUAAGUGGUGGCAAGACUCGAAUCCUAGACCUCUACCUGCUCUACUAUGGUGAAUUGUGUGAACCGUCUCAUCUAAGUCGUGCCAUCAAAGUCAAAUUUCCAUGCUCUCCUCUUCUGUGACAGCUAUUUCCUCGUCUGGGAAGCAAUCCUUAAACUCAUGUUCCUCCUUAAUAGGGUGCAAGGUGUUCUUCUAUCACCCUUCCUUUUUGGUUACAUACGUGAUGUCAAAUUCAGACAGAAGCAGUAACCAUCUUGCGGUCCUUCCCAUUACGUAAGUCUCACAUGGUCUAGCUGAGUGAAGGCACGAGCACUGCUGAGGUGCUGUACAUGGGACUGAAUGCCAAGCUUCAGAAUUGGAAAGCUACCCCAUUCCCUAUCAGGCGGGAAUCCCGGUAGUCCAGACUUGCCAUCUUUUCUACAUUACGAGUUAUUUCAGGGUGUAACUCAAAUGUUUUUACUUUAUUAUCUUUUGAUUUCGAUGUAAACCAUCAUAUCUUCAAUUCAAUUCAAUGAAAUCAAUAUUUCAUUGUCAAUGGAUGUAUCCUUUUUCUUUAUUCUGAUUUUUGCUGUUUUUCUUAUCUUUUUCUUUUUAGUUCUAAUAAUGUUGACUUAAAUAAUAUGAGAUGCUUGCAGAUCUUAUGCCCAGAUCCUAAAAUGCUGUCUAACUGUGAAAUAAUGAAUCAAGAAUUAGAAUAUAACAAAGAUGAGGCUUUUAGGGAAAUAAAGAGAACUGGAACAAUUUGAGAAUAAGCCUGAGCCAAACUUCAAUGAAACUGAGCUAGUUAAUUUGGGCAGUCCAGAAGAGGUCCGGGAAACCAUGAUAAACAUUCACGCCGAUGAAAGAACUAGAGAUGCAUUGAUCCAACUUUUGUUUGAAUUCAAAGACGUGUUUGCAUGGUAUUGUGAUGAUAUGCCAAUGCUGAGUGUUGAUUUGGUGGUACACGAAUUGCCAACUUAUCCCAAUUAUCCACCCGUCCAACAAAAGCAGAGAAAGUUUAAAAUGGACAUCAACGAUAAGAUCAAAGAAGAAAACACCAAACAAUUGAAAGCUGGUGUGAUCCGAGUGGUCUGAUAUACCACAUGGUUGGCUAAUGUGGUCCCAGUGUUGAAGAAAUACGGGAAAACCCAAGUAUGUGUUGAUUAUCGAGAUUUGAACAAAGCAAGCCCCAAGGACAAUUUUCCAUUGUCAAAUAUUCAUAUUCUUGUUGAGCCCCCAAGUCCUGAUGGAUGAGGACGAUGUAGAAAAGAUGGCUUUCACCACAUAGUGGGGCACUUACUGUUACAGGGUCAUGCCAUUUUGUUUGAAAGAUGCCGGGGAAACCUAUAUGAGAGUCAUGACUGCCAUCUUCCGUGACAUGAUGCACCAAGAAAUUGAAGUGUAUGUGGAUGAUAUGAUCAUCAACUCUAGAAUGCAAGAAGGCCAUAUACAAGAUCUGAGGAAAUUCUUUGAAUGCUUACACAGGUAUGACUUAAAAUUAAACCCAGCUAAAUGUGCAUUUGGAGUUCCAUCUGGAAAACUUCUGGGGUUUAUAGUCAGUCGGAGAGGUAUCUAGUUAGAUCCAAUAAAGAUAAAGUCUAUUUGGGAUUUACCAUCUCCGAGAACCAAGAAAGAGGUCAUGAGUCUGCUAGGACGACUAAAUUACAUCAGCAGGUUCAUUGCUCAGCUUACCACCACUUGUGAGCCUAUAUUCAAAUUGUUAAAGAAAGGCGCGACAAUCAAAUGUACAUAUGAGUGUCAAGAGGCUUUUGAUAAAAUCAAAGAAUAUUUGUCGAAUCUACCAGUAUUGGUUCCACCCGAGUCGAGAAGACCUUUGUUCUUGUACCUAACAGUCUUGAAAAAUUCUUUCGGGUAUGUCCUGGCGCAACACGAUGUGACUGGGAAAAGAGAGCAAGCCAUAUACUAUAUGAGCAAGAAGUUCACCAAUUAUGAAGCCAAGUAUACUUUGUUGGAAAGAACUUGUUGCGCCCUGACUUGGGUUGCCCAGAAGCUCAAACAUUAUCUUUUGGCCUACACCACAUAUCUCAUAACCAGAAUGGAUACAUAUUCCAAAAACCAAUGCCCACGGGGAUGUUAGCAAAAUGGCAAAUCCUGCUCAUUGAGUUCGACAUUGUCUAUGUCACCUGCACGACGAUGAAAGCUCAAGCCUUGGCGGAUCAUCUAGCGGAAAACCCGAUUGAUGAUGAAUAUCAACCUCUAAGCACCUAUUUCCCAAACGAGGAAGUAAAUUUAGUUGAAGUGAUUCCAGAGGACACCAAUGCGUGGAAAAUGUUCUUUGAUGGAGCUGUAAAUGCAAAAAGGUGUCGGGAUUGGAGCAAUUCUGAUAUUGCCCACAGGUCAACACUAUCCAGCCACAACCCGACUUCGAUUCUUCAGUACGAACAACACUACCGAGAAUGAAGCUUGCAUAUGGGCAUGAAUAUAGCAGUUGAUCUGGAUAUAGAGGAAUUGUUAAUCAUGGGGGAUUCUGACUUGAUCAUUCGGCAAGCCCAAGGCGAAUGGGAGACUCGAGAAAUCAAACUCAUCCCAUACAGGAAAUAUGUGGAAGAUCUCAGCAAAAAGUUCCAAUCCGUAAAGUUCAAGUAUAUUCCUCGAUUCCACAAUGAGCUAGCUGAUGCACUAGCUACUUUGGUCUCAAUUCUGCCAUAUCCGGGCAAUGUCCAUAUUGACCCGUUGGAAAUGAUAUGGGGCUUAUUAUUAAUAAUUCUAUUGCUCGGUUGUUAUUGUUUUAUUGUUUGGGUGAGGAGGAAUGUAAAGUACGAAGGGUGAUGCCGUGCCAUUACAUAUUUACUUUCAUAUGAGGAAGAGUGUAAAUCAUGAAGGGUGAUGUCGUGCCAUUUCAUAUUUACUUUCAUGUGAGAAAGAGUGUAAAGCACGAAGGGUGAUGUCGUGCCAUUGCAUAUUUAUUAUCAUGUGAGGAAGAGUGUAAAGCACGAAGGUGAUGUCGCGCCAUGUCAUAUUCAUUAUCAUUAUUCAUUUCAACUGUUAUUGUGAGGAAGAGAGUAAAAGCACGAACAAUGAUGUCGUGCACUUGUUUUGCUGUGUUUCUUUACUGUUCUGUUUUCAUGAUCUCGUACUCCCCUCAGCAUGUUUCUACCCCUCCCGUUAAUACAUGUUUAAUUUUUAUUAUUUAUUAUUAUUCCGUAUAUUGCUUAACUGCACAGGUUAUAUAUGUGUCUUGUCCUAGCCUCGUCACUACUUCGCCGAGGUUAGGCUCAACACUUACUAGUACAUGGGGUCAGUUGUACUGAUACUGCACUCUGUACUUUCUGUGAAGAUUUCAGUACUAGACCGUAUUGAUCAGAGUUGUGUUGCUGCCUUCAGUCCUUCAGGAUACCCAAGGUAGAUCUGCCAGCGUUUGCAGACCCUGGAGUCCCCUUUCCAAUUAUCCUAGUUUUCCUGUUUUCUUUUAAUUCGAGAAUAGUUGUAUUUUCUUUCAGCCAGCAUUUGUAGUGACUCUUAGAAGUUCGUGGAUUGUGACACCAAAUUUUGGGUAGUCGUGUAUUAGUACUUGGAUUAUUAUGAAUUUCUGCACCUAUUUACUCUGUUUUUGAUUAAUUAUUGUUAAUUACUUAUUUGGAGAGUGGUUAGCCUGUCAAUUCUUUAACUAUUUUCUUGCCUAGCAUUCUGAAAAGUUAAGCGUCAUUACGAUCCCGAUGGUGGGAAAUCCGGGUCGUGACAACAACUGACUUAAAACUUGAAAUGAAUUCCCUCAUUCUCCAGGUGGGCACCUGCCAAUGACUUGAACUUGAAAUAAAUUCUCUCGUUCUCCAGGUGGGCGCAUGCGACUGACUUGAAACUUGAGAUGAAUUCCCUCGUUAUCCAGGUGGGCGCCUGUAACUGACUUGAAACUUGAAAUAAAUUCUUGCAUUCUCCAGGUGGGCACCUACGACUAACUUGAAACUUAAAAUAAAUUCCCUCGUUCUCUAGGUGGGCGCCUGCAGUCACAACAAAAUAGACAAAACAAAGAAAAUUUUCUGCCUCAGUUUGUACCAGGAACAUUUGUGGGUGUUAGUUGAAUUCCAUUUUCGAGGAGGGUCCUGAAAAGUUAAAACUGAAUCUCAUUAUCUAGGAGGGUCCUGAAAACUUAAACUGAAUUUAAUUAUCCGGGGAUAUGUUGUAAACCUAAAACUAAAUCUCAUCAUCCAGGAGGGUCCUGAAAACCUGAAAUUAAAUACCAUUAUCCGUGAGGGUCUUGAAAAAAUUAAAACUGAACUUUCCUGGAGCAUGCUUUCCUCAUGGAGGAUUCUGGCGAAGCAAACAAAAUUUCUUGCCCCAGUUUCAAACAAAGAAAAUCUUGUCAGUUUGAAAAUGUGGUAGUUAGUUUGUGGCAUCCUUGCUGAAGGUGUCUGCUUUUGCCACUACCAUGCUUCAUUCCGAUUAGCUUCUUCGGUCUAACAAAGAAUUAUUUGACCUUCCGAUCGAACCUCGGCCACAAAAACCUCCGAAUUACCCGAAUCCCUUACACUCAACUUGUUGUAUGGCAUUUUUAUUCUGACAAUUAUUGAACCUUUGCAUUUCCUCAAAAUUCACGAAUUACUUGACCACCUAAACGUCAAUUACCACCCACAUUGCUCAUUAUAAAUCAUGUCACUUGUGAUGUGCUUGGAUGAACUUCGCUUGAUGCAAUUAAAAAGCUGGUAAUGGGCUUUGAAGUCCUUUCUUGAUUGUUUAACAAAGACUCACUUGACAGAGACUUAGAAAAAUAGACCCAAAAGAAACGAAAUGAAGUGACUUCGAGAAAUUAGGAAUAAAAGGAAAUUUUUGAACAGAGAUGACUAUUUGAAGAAGAAUGGAAAAGAGACUUAUCUUAGUGAAGCAGUUGGCUCCAAUGAUCAUGACAUGCAUUUCGGAUUGAUCAGCCUAAUCCAUCCAACUAAUCACAUUUUAGUUCAUGCUCAUGAACAAAGUGUUACCCAGGACGUAAAUCAUACCUCUAUCUUGAUUGACUUGGCAUCCUCAAAGAUUGAUCAGAAGGUCUCUCUUUGGACUGUAGUGUAGGCUUUUGGAAAGGGUUAGAAAGAAAGGGUAGCAUGAAGGCUCAAAAUAAUUUAAGAUGAAAGGGUUCAAAAUUACAACUUUUGGAAUCAGAUCUUUUUGCAAAACUAAAACUUCUGCCCCAGUUUCUUUGCAUAUGGGGAAUUUUGGAUUUUUAUUUUGAUGGGACCGAACCUCAGAGUAAGGCUGCCUACGUAUCCAUAAAAAGGAAUCAGGUCAAACGUAGUUCAAACGUAAAGUUGUUUUUUUUGUUUGUUUUUUUCCUUUUUCUUUCUUCUUUUUUCUUUUCUUUUCUUUUCUUUUCUUUUUCUUUUUCUUUUUCUUUUCUCUUUUUUUUCUUCUCUUUUCUUUUCUUUUUUUUCCUUUUCUUUCUUUUCCUUUCCUCCCUUUGGUUUUUCUUUUCUUUUCCUUUUCCUUUUCCAUUUUUAUGCUACUUCUAAUUCUAAAAGAGGGGUAUGAAAGAAAACAAAUAAGGCUCAAAAGCGGUGACAAAAGAUAACAGUGUUUUGAUAGUAGAAUAAAAUACUUUCAUCAUUCCAACAUUGAAUAUGCCAAGUGCAAAAAACGCAAAUGAAGAUAAGCCGAAAAAUCAUACAUAAAGUGAUAGCCAUAUCUACACAUUUGCCUUCUAUAUCUGUUAAAUAUAAAACACCAUUGGGCAACACUCUUGUCACAAUGAACGGCUGAUGUGCCAGAUAAUUUCGGCAUAUUUAAUACAAAUUGCUUAGAUUUUAGCUUGUUUUAAAUGCAAUUAUCUUUUAUACUUAUGUAAUUUUAAUGUUUUUGCAGUGUAUGAGGUGUAAGGACCUAAGAACAUGGAAAUUAAAUCAAAAAAACAAAAAUACAAGAAAAGAGCAAAAUGCGAUAGCAUACGUGAAGAUGCGGGCCGCAAAUCCAACAUGCAGACCGCAUAAUGCCCGAAGAAAUUGCAGAGUCAAAUAGUUUGCUGGCCAAAUUCAGGUGCAAGAAAUGCGGUCCAUUAUGCGACCGUAUAACAGGUUCGCGGGAUGCAUAAUGGAUCGCAAACUCAUUGAAGAAGUUGUUGAAGGCGGAAAAUACGGUGCAAACUACGAUCGUAAAUCAACAAUGCGGACCGCAUAACCUAAAUGCGACGAAUGCCUAGAAACUAGGGUUUGAAGAUGUGAUGGACUUGAAGAGAAUGCGGACUGCAUGUCUGUUAUGCGAUAGAUAUGCGGUUGCAUAAUUGACCUAUAAGGGUGAUUUUGUCCGAAAUUUGUCUCGAGUUUUGACCCAUUACAAAUAGAGAUGGUUAGUGUAAUGCAAUUGAAAUAGAACCAGAUUUUCAUCCAUGGUAUCAUGAUAUCAAACAAUUUUUAAUAAUAAAGGAAUAUCCCGAGCAGGCUAGUGGAGAUGAAAAGAGAACUAUCAGAAGGCUUGCCAGCAGUUUCUUUUUGAGUGGAGAGGUUUUGUACAAAAGAACUCCAGAUUUGAAUCUUUUGAGGUGCCUAGAUGCCCGAGAAGCUGAAAAGAUCAUGAACGAAGUGCAUUUGGGAGUAUGUGGGCAUCACAUGAAUGAAUAUGUCCUUGCAAAGAAUAUUUUCCAAGCAGGUUAUUACUGGAUGACCAUGGAAAAAUAUUGCUUCAGUUUCGUCCGGAAGUGCCAUCGGUACCAGAUACAUGGUGACCUGAUCCAUGCAUUGCCUUCAAAGUUGCAUCCUAUGUCAGUACUUUGGCCGUUCGUUGACUGGGGUAUAGAUGUUAUUGGGCCGAUUGAACCAAAAACUUCAAAUGAGCAUAGAUUCAUCUUGGUUGCCAUUGAUUAUUUCACAAAGUGGGUCAAAACAGUCACUCUCAAAGCCGUUACUAAGAAAGCAGUGGUGGACUUUGUGCAUUCCAACAUUAUUUGCCGUUUUGGUAUUCCUAAAACUAUCAUUACAGACAACGCUACAAAUAUGAACAACCACUUGAUGAGGGAGGUAUGAGAACAAUUUAAAAUUACGCAUCGUAAUUCUACCCCUUAUCGGCCCAAAGCUAAUGGUGCUGUUGAAGCUGCAAACAAGAAUAUCAAGAAGAUCCUCAGGAAAAUGAUUCAAAGUUCUAGACAAUGGCAUGAAAAGAUGUCCUUUUCAUUAUAGGGAUAUCGCACAACCGUGCACACAUCAGUUGGGGCCAUGCCCUACUUAUUGGUUUAUGGCACUGAAGCCAUAAUACCCGCAGAAAUUUAGAUACCCUCUCUUCGGAUUAUUGUUGAAGCCGAGUUUGAGGACAAGGAAUGGAUCAAAACCUGUUUAGAAUAGUUGACCAUGAUUGAUGAAAAAUGGAUGGCCACAGUUUAUCACGGGCAGUUGUACCAACAAAGAAUGGCCCGUGCCUACAACAAGAAAGUGCGGCGUAGAAAAUUUGAAGUGGGGCAACUCAUUCUGAGAUGUAUUCUCCUGCAUCAUGAAGAAGCCAAAGGAAAAUUUUCUCCGAAUUGGAAAGGUCCUUACAUUGUAAGAAGAGUGUUGCCAAAGGGAGCACUAUAUUUGGCAGAUAUCGAAGGAAAUGAUCAUGAAACAACUAUCAAUGCAGAUGUGGUCAAAAGGUAUUAUGUUUGACCCUUUUACGUAGUUUUAAUGCUCUCUGAUUGGGAUGAUGAAGGCUUUGAUUCCUGCCACCCAAACACUACCGAUCUUUGAAAACCCUUUGAGUCUGUUCCCUUUUUCUUUGAUUACCCUUUUGGAACCUGGAAGUUAUUAUGAAAAAAAUAUUGAUGAAAAAUGAAUGAAAAAACAUGAAAGAAAAAGAAACAAAGNNNNNNNNNNNNNNNNNNNNNNNNNACUGGGGUAGAUGUUGUGAUGAUUUGGCGAUGAUUCGCCUGAAAGGUUCCAAAGUUGUAAUUCAAUCUAAAUUCUUUUACCCCAAAUCAUGUUCAAGUCCUUCCAAUCUAUCGGCAAAGAGGUUCAAAUGGAAGGGAUACAGUUGCUUGGAUCUGAUGCAAUCCAAAUGAGAAAAAUAAAAUGAGAGAGUCUUAUUGGUGAAAACCUUCACGGGCAUCGUAAGGUGAUGGUAAGUAUAGAAAUUGAAAAUGAAAGAGUCUUGUUAGUGAAAACUCGCAAAGAGCACUAUAAGGCGAUUGUAAGAAGAGAAAUGAGAGAGGUCAACUGGUGAAAACCCGCAAAGGGUGCCACUGAUCGAAAAGAGGAUCCUCACAGCCAUUGGCAUCGACAGAGUCCUAGCAAGGUUUUCCAAUUUUGAGGCAUAAGUUGUGAUGAUAUUUUGAGAGUUAGACAGUUUACACAUAUCAGGCAUCCAGUCCAAAAGGCACGUCAUAUUCAUUGAAGUUCGCAUGCACUCCAAAUAAGUCCUAUCUUUAACAGAAAGGGAUACUUCUCAUCUAAAUUCAUUUAUCCAUUCCAUUGUUUGUUUUUCUUUAAAUCCCUUUCAGUCUAACUCUGUUCCGAAACAAAGACAAAGAAGGGAUGACAAGACUAAUUUAUAGGACUAUCGCUUGAUAUGAGCUAAUAUGCAAAAAAAGGCACCCAACCUUUGCAGGAGCAUCAAGUCGACUCCGACUGGCCAUGGUGGCCAAUGCUUCGAAAUAAAAAAAACUCUUGAAAGAAGAAAAUCAAAGGCAAAUGCCCACAAAGGCACAAUAAAGUUAAAAAGGUUAAGUCCCACGUGACUAAUCGUCAUGGUAAAGUUUUGGAAAAGCCAAAAGUUCUCCGGGGCCAGAAAUAUAAUCGGUCUUUAGGAAACAACUAGUUGCAACUAAAAUUAUCAUCAAAGAAGCCGGCCAAGAUCAAGUGACUAAAACACUCAAGGCCGUAAAAUCAACAACCGUUUCAAACUGACAAAUUGUUCUUUGUUUGAGAAACAGAAAACAGGUGCAAUCCAAAGCAACCUUGCAAGAAGCAGGUGCAACCAAAAAGAAAUUGCGCGGAGACUAAAAUAGCUCUGCCGCAACAAUAACUCCAAAAAAGGGAAGUCUUCUCCAAAUUCUUUCCAACAUUUUACUCAUUCUCUUAAUAAAAAAAGGGGAGGAUUCAAAAUCAUGGUAGUAUAGGGUCUCUAAUCCUUAGCUGCAUUUUCCAACAUAGGGUCUCCAUUCCCCAGUUAAUUUUUAUUUCAAACAUAGGGUCUCCACUCCCUAGUCGCUUUUCCAACAUAGGGUCUCCACUCUCUAGUUGAUGUUUAUUUUUAGACAUAGGGUCUCCACUCCCUAGUCGCUUUUCUAACAUAGGGUCUCCAAUUCCUAGUUGAUUUUGUUUUAGACAUAGAGUCUCCAUUCUCUAGUCACUUUUCCAAAAUAGGGUCUCCACUCCCUAGUUGCUUUCAUUUUAGAUAUACGGUUUCCACUCCCUAGUCUCUAUUUUCUCAGGGUACACCAAUCCCAACUUUUAUUGCUUUCAAUAAUGAAGUAGUAUAGAGUUUUGGUACAAAUAACUCAUGAAAUUUUCCUAAUGAAAAUUGGGGCAGAAAAAUUUCGUUCGUUCGUUUAUUUUGGUGUCUGAGUAGGUUUUUACCUCGAGGCACAAGGUUUGAGAUGACUAAAAGAAGAUGUCUCAAUCCAAAAUAAAUAAAAAGAAAAGAAAAGAAGUGAAUCCAAAAUGCAGAAGCAGUAAAAAGUGUGGAUUGCUCAAGACAUGAAUGAAGUCACGAGCAUUGUGUGUCCCGACUUUUAUCAGAAGAAGCCGUAGAAGAAUGAACUGACACCGGCAGUGGGCAAGCAUCAAGAUUCAAAGCAGAGUCUUCAUGAAGAGCCGUUCAAGACUCAAGAUCAAGCUUCAGAAGAUUUAUAGAUAGGAAUCUUAUAACUCAUACUCCUUCCGUUCCAGUUUAUAUGAACCUAUUUUCUUUUUGGUCUGUUCCGAAAAGAAUGACCUCUUUCUAAAUUUGGAAAUAAUUUAGCUUAAACUUACAAUUUUACCCUUAAUGAGAAGCUUUUAUAACCACACAAAUAUCCUGGACCCCUUUUUAACUUAUUUAGGACCACAAAUUUCAAAAGUCUUCAUUUUUUUUAAACUUCGUGCCUAGUCAAACAUGUUCACAUAAAUUGGAACGGAGGGAGUAGUUGAUAUGCUUGUUUAGUUUCUUUUUAUUUUGAUUAUGGUGUAAUAAGGAGCUCAGCAAGCAGUAACAGCACCAACAACAAUGAAAUCACAGCUUUUUCGUAGUCCCAGCUACCAAAAUUUCCAAAACUACACUGACCUGAUUCCUUUAUAGCCAAGGGUAUGUCGGCAACCUCGAAAAUAAGGUUCGGUCAAACUUUUUCAAAAUAGUAUCAAAUGGGCAAUAAUUGCUUAUAUUUUCUCACUUUAUCUUUGCCCGCAAACUCUUCAUGUUUUCGAGCAAAGAGGGGUAGCUGUGAGCACGUAAUUUUUGCCCCACUCGAGAUUGCUCCUGAAAAGUCCAAAAAUAGUCUUCUAAUUAGCUUUGAGUUUUAUAGAAGUUUUAAGGAUUUUUCUCUAUUUUUGUUGUAUGCAUUUUUACGGCAUUUAGUUGCAUUUUCAUAAUUAGAAGCAUUUUAAAUCAUGAAAAAAUCAAAAAUAUUUUUUCUUUAACAUUUUUGGAUUUUAAUUGCAUUCUUAAUUGCAUUUCUAAUAAAAAAUCACAAAUAAAUAACACUUUCAAUUACCCUUAUUUUCUGCAUUUUAGGUUAAUUAAUCAAUUAAAUUCAUUAUGUCACAAGUUUGGUUAGUUGAUCAAAUCUGCAAAAAUAGUUUUAAGUAUAAUUAGGUUGGCUAGAUUUGAAAAAUUGAACAAAGAAGAAGAGAAGGGGCUCUCAGCCUUCGUUUUGGGCCAAGCAGCUCCAAUGGCCGAUUUACAUUCCACAUACACGCACAAACCCAUUCCUCAUCCGGUCCAGUCCCCAUAUUAAUCAAACGACCCCAUUUUGCGACAUUCAAUCCCCAUCCUCCAUCAUUCCCCAUCCAACGGUCCACAAAUCCCCUCCUCAACCCAUAAAAAUGUCGGACCAGAGACCCCUACCCUCUUAAAAUUGUCUCAGACUCGUCUCUCCCACCCCUCUCUUAUCUCUCGCCGUCCACCGCCAUCAAAAAUUGCCUACGGUGGCGGCGCCACUCCAAAUCACCACAAAUUAACACCACAAUAUCCCCCACACCCUUCUAAAUCUUAACCCCUUACCAAUUUUUCCAAAAUCUACACAAAACUCGUCAAAUUUCGGAUCUAAGAAGUCACUAAAAACCUAAAUCCACCCCAUUUCGAGUUUCCCCAAAUUCUAGCCUACCUGAGGUUCAUAUCAACACUAAUUGAACACUUUUGUCGAGAGUUAUCAAUUGGAGUCGAUUUUGGUCCUAUUCUAGGCCACCCGAAUCUGGCCACCACCAUGGAACCCUGAUAAUGUUGAUUUCUUUUGUCGGUAUAUGGCAGACAUCGUCACAUAUACCAUAGGCUACGCCUCGAGUGUGGGCUAAUGCUCAUGUAAUGAUGCCGCCUAUUAGCCGGGUAUCUUUUUUGGGUAACCUUGUCAUCAAAGGGUAAUCCUUCUUUUCGUUUCUUUUAUUACGACCUAUUUGAGGUUAAUGGAUUGACAUUUUGUGUUACAUGUCAUAGAUUAGGUUUAUUUCACAAUUAAGAACAUAUUUUUAGUAUUGGAUUCAACUUUUAUUAAAUUAAUAAAUUGAUAUGUUGAUUGUUAGUACGUCUUCUCGUAUGUUAUCAUGCUCUAGAUUAGUUAUGAUUUCAAAUUCUGUGAUUAGGCUAACGUUUUAAAGCAUAGCAGUCAGUUUUAAUUAGGUUAGAGUGACUUCAAUUGGUUAAUUACAUGUUUGAAUUAGUUUAAUUACCUAAAAUAGGUUAAAGUUUGAAUAUUGCUUGUUGUGCUGUGAUUGUUAAUUCAUCUAAGUUUUAUGAUAGCUAUUUGCAAUUACUGAAAUUCGGGGGUCUAAAAGAAAUAGAAAAAAAUGAAGGAAUCUAUUUUGUUUGGUUGGAAAUGAAUUAAAAUGGGAGAAUAAGUUUAAAACUUGGGGUAAAUAUUGAAAUUUCAAAAGUUUAAAAGGUGCUAGGAACAAAGAGAAAAUAUCUGAAAAGGGACAGAUGUCCUAUUCAGUUAAAAGGAUGCCUUAUCUCCUAUUUUUUAGCUGACAGAAUCUUCUGCAUUCCUCUCUAAUUUUUUCCUCACAAAGGCUUACUCCUACACUAUGUAACAGGUCAUAUAUCACUCACUCAUACACACGAAUUAGACUACAACUUUCAAAGAUCUUUCAUUUUUCUCCACCCUCAUUUUCAGUACAAAAGCUUCUGAAAUUCCAGUCCUAAAAGCUCUACAAAAAACUAAGAGAUAAAAGGUUCAAGACUUUUUUCUGAGUUUAAAUCUUGUGCUACAAGUUCUGGGUUUAUAGAUGUUGAGGUCAAAGAAGAGUCGCUAUUUUGUUGGAAUUGAAGUUCAGAUUGCUCCUUGUUUCCAUGUUGCUAUUUCACUACUAGUAGGUGCGUUUAUCCAUCUUGUUACUUUCUACUUGAACUAUAAAUAAAAUUAGAUUGUUUAUGAUAUACUCUUGCAAUUAUCCUAAUUUCAACAUGUUUAAUGUCUAAAUUUGUUGUGGUUUCAUACUUAUUAAUCCGUGCAAUUGUUGGAAUGUUAAAAUUAUGUGAGUUGUUUGUAGAAUGUUAAUAGGUGAUUUAACAACUGUUUGAAUGUCAUUCUGUUCUUUUUUUUUUCUUUACUUUCUUUCUGAAAUGUGCGUGAGUUUCAUUAUGUUUACUUCAUUGUGAAGUGAUGUAUGAAUUUGGUUCAUAUUUUCUUUCAAUUUGCUCAGCAUAGUAUUUUUAACAAGUGAGUAUAGCUUUGUAGUUAUUCUGUCACAAAGCUUUACAAGCCAAGAGGAUCAUGAGAUGUGGCGAUUACAGAGAACUAGUUGUUCAUUUGAAUAUGUAACUAGCUUAAAGCAUCAUCAUAAUAUGUAUCCUAUAAUAGAUUUUCAGAUGUAUGAAUCAAUUGUCAAUUGUAUUUAAAUCUAGCAUUAGUUCAGUUUGUUGAAAGUAUUUAAUCAUGGUUCAAUUGGUUUAGUAGAUUAAUUAUGCCCGUUUUCUUUUUUGGCCAACUAUGUGUUAGUGAAUAAACGUGUAAUGGAUUAGGUGCAGCAAAAUUUCCUUAGGAAAGCUUAUGACAUUUUUCUUAGUUCAUUUGGCCUUUGCUUGAGGGGUAGACUUCAAAAAGAAGUCAGCAGUGGAAGGUCUCAUAGCUGGGAUUCAUUUGAAAACCCAUUUGGACGUCAGUCACCCUCAUGAUCGACUUAGUCUCUUUAAGUAAAUGUGAUUGGCCCUUUUCUUACGAAUUUAUUCAUUUGACUUCCUUUUAUUUAGACAAGUAAAUGAAUCUGCUAAUGAAUUGAAUACCUAAUCUUACAAGGAAUUUUUCAUAAAUCAUGACCUCACAACAAAUUUCAAAGCAGUUUAGGAAAAUAAUUCUAAAUAUCGUAGUUUGCUUUAGGUGCGACUAAUAAUAAAUCAUCGUGACUAUGAGUAUGGUUCCUGUGACAUAUUCAUGAUACGUAAUCCCCAAUUUGAGUAAGCGUUUCACGUGACUCAACCAUAACUUCAAUAAUAAUAAAAGUUAACAUGUUGUAAAUCGUGGCUGUGUUUCAUGUGCCGCGAUUCGCAAUGUGUACAAAAAUAAACGAGUGUGCGACAUCACGACUUAUACAAAUAAAUUCCAUAAAUACUAAAAGUCGUUAAAAAGUAAAAAAAAAUACAUAGUAGGUUUCAAAUAUGUAUUAAAUCAGAUAAUUAAGUCAAUUAUUAAAUAGUUGAGCGACCGUGUUAAAACCACUGAACCCGGGAAUACCUAACACCUUCUCUCAGGUUAACAUAAUUCCUUACCCGGUCUUCUGGUUUCGCGAACUUUUUAAACAAAGUCAAAUUUCCUAGAUUUGGGAUUUAAAAAAUAAACCGGUGACUUGGGACAUCAUAAAUUAUUCCAAGUGGCGUCUCUGAAAUAAAUAAUAUCAUUUCGAUUAAUGUCACUUUAAUUGGAAAAACUCUCUAUCCAUUCGGGAAAAGGGAGGUGUGACAGGGACAUGUAAAGGUUGUUUUCCCUUGAUCUUCCGUAGCAAUAAAAAUUUGGUUGUAGCCCGAAUACCCAUCAUGAAAGCAAUAGAAAGCACGCGGCCAAUCUAUUGAUUAUUUGAUCUAAGAAAGAAAGUGGAAAGUGAUCCUUCCUUGUGACAUUGUUAAGCUUGCGAUAGUCCAUACAAACUCUCCAACUAGUCACCUUUCUUGUAGGAAUCAACUCAUUCUUGUCACUGGUGACCACCGUCAUGCCUCCCUCUUUGGGACACAUUGGACUGGAAAGUCCACGAACUAUCGGAGAUGGGAUAUAUAACCCUGGCAUCCAACCACUUAAUAAUCUCCUUUUUGACAACUUCUUGCAUAGCCUCAUUGAGUCUCCUUUGAUGUUCAAUAGAUGGUUUGACGCCUUCCUCCAAGUUGAUCUUAUGCAUGCAAAAUGUGGGGCUUAUCCCCUGAAUAUACACCAAGGUCCACCCAAUAGCCUUCUUCCUCUUUUGUAACACCUCCAAAGUGGAAUUUACUUGCACGUUAGUAAAAUAAGAGGAAAGAAUAACCAAUAAAGUAGAACAAGGAUCAAGAAAUUCAUACCGAAGAUUUAGAGGCAAUGGUUUCAACUCCAAGGUAGGAGGCUCUUCAAUAGAAGGCUUUGUAGGAGGAGUUGCCCUAUUUUCAAGAUCCAAGGAAAAUUUUCGGGUGCAUAGUUGUAUGACCUCAUUCCUUGCAAAGAGUUCACACAUUCCAUGAAGCCAUCCAUAUCAUCAUCAUCAAAGUUGAGCAAGACGGCCUCCAACAUAUCACCAACAUUGAUCAUAGCACUUGUUUCAUCAAUAAUAACAUCGGUCACCCAGUCCACAAAUGAGCACAUCUCAUUGCUAUUUGGUUGUCGCAUUGACUUACACACAUGGAAACUACUUUUUCAUCACCAACCUAGAAAGUAAGUUCUCCGGCUUCAACAUCAUAAAGAGUCUUCCCCACAGAAAGGAAAGGUCUACCAAUAAUAAUCGACACCUUAUAAUCAACUUCACAAUAUAAAAUGACAAAAUCAGCCGGAAGAAUGAAUUUAUCAACAUGAACCAAGCCAUCUUCAAUCACUCCCAAGGAUCUCUUCAUAGUACGAUCUGCCAUUUGCAAUCUCAUAGAGGUGAGUCUUGGUUGCCUAAUUCCCAAAGUCUUGAAAAUCGAAUAGGGCAUUAAAUUGAUACUUGCCCAAAGAUCACAAAGAGCUUUAGCAAAUUCGACACUUCCAAUUGUACAAGGAAUCAGGAAAGUACCGGGAUCCUCCAACUUAGGAGCCAUUGAAUGCACAAUUGCACUCACUUGAUGAGUGACUUUGAUGGUUUCAAAAUUCAAUGAGUGCUUAUUUGUCACAAGAUCUUUCACAAACUUUGCAUAACCGGGCAUUUGCUUUAAGGCUUCAACUAAUGGCACCUUGAUUGAGAGACUCUUCAUCAUUUGACUGAACUUCUUGAAUUGAUUCUCACCAAUUUUCUUGGCAAGUCUUUGAGGAUAUGGAGGUGAAGGCUUAGGUAAUGGUGCCUUAGCCUUUUGCACUACCGGAUUUGUAUGUAAAUAAUGUGAUCCCUAAACGGGCUCACUACCUCUUGAGUCACUUCCGCACUAUCAUCAAUAUCAAUCCGAACUUCAUCAUUUGACUGCACCACAUUGAUAGGGAUCUCUUCUUCUUGCACCACUUGCUCAUAAUCCACAAGUUGCCUUUGACUUGAGGUGAGUGCAUUCCCACCUCUUCAACUUCUUGUAGAAACGGCAAUGGCAUGUCCCAUGUUGUUUCCACCUUUUGGGUUUACUAUCGUGUCACUUGGUAGUGCCCCAUUAGGACAAGAAUUUAGAACUUGAGAGAUUUUCCCUAUAUGAACUUCUAAGUUAUGGAUUUAUGUGUUAUGUGAGACAAGUUGGGCAUCUUGAACAUAUUCUCAAUACGCCCCAUCUCAUUAUUUGAAGAACUUGGAAAACAGGAAGGAUAAGGAGGCGGGUUGCUUAGUUGUUGAUACAUCGGGGGCCUUUGAAAACCCAGCCCCCAGUUGCCUUGAUUGUUACCCCCCCUAAUUUCCUUGAUUUUUUCACUCUAAUUUCCUAGANNNNNNNNNNNNNNNNNNNNNNNNNUUGUUGUUGUUAUGCCAAUUCCCUUGAUUGUUGCCACCACUCCAAUUUCCUUGGUUGUUAGAAUUCCAAUUGCCUUGAUUAUUUUGAGGUCGCCAUUGUUGUUGGUUUGGGAAUUGGAAGUUGUUUCUUUGCCCUUGAAAAUUUUUCACAUAUUGCACCUCGUCUUCUUGUUCAUUAUAAGAAUCAUCUUGAUCAAAAUCGCUAUCCUCUUGCACAUAAUUCUCCACUCGAUUUUGCACUUGUGGACCCUUGGUCCUUCUCUUGCUUACCAUCAUGUUCUGGGGUGGCCCUUCCAUAAAGCAAGUAAAGCAACCGAUUUAGGCCCCAUAUUCGUGGGGACCCCAUUUUUUGUUACACCUAAUAGACUAUGUAUAAGUAAAAAAGAGUUAUGUAAAGUGAAAAAGUUUGGUUUCUUUAUUUAACAAAUAUAGAGAAGAAGGAUUUACAACUACUAUGAUUUCUACCAAGAAAAUUGCAUUUGAAAUGAAUAUCGAACCCGAAUUUCGUAAGAAACGUGUGAUAUAUAGGAAGUAACAAUUUGAUGCGAAUGUUGAUAAUCUCAAAAUAUUUUGAAGAGUACUUUAGAGUUGAUUAAUUUUAUUCAUAAUAGACAAUGCUAUUUUUUCACUUCAAAAUAGAUUUGAAAAAAUCGAAGCAUAUGAAAUAUUUUUGGUUUUCUAUUUGGUAGUAAAAACUAAGAUCACUAGUUGUUGAAAAUUUUAAAAAAUAUUACCUUAAUGUUGAAUAUUCCUUAAAGCAUAAUAAUCAAUUCGAUAUUGAUGGGUUAGAUUUAUUUUCUAAAUUAAAAGUAUUAAGAAAAAUAGUACAAUUAGAAGAUAAUAGUUUAAUUGAUACAUUUAAUCAAAUAAAAAGAUUUAGUUCUUUUCCAAAUGCCUAAAUUGCUUAUGGAAUAAUGUUCAUAACUUAUGUUAUCGUUGCUUCAGCGGAAAUAAGUUUUCAAAAAUUAAUUUUGAUAAAAGUUUACCUAAGAACAACAAUGUCACAAGAAAGAUUAAUGGAUUAGCUAUAUUAUCAAUUGAGAAAUACUUAUUAGGAUUUAUUGAUUAUAAGAAAAUUAUUAAUAAUUUUGUAUCUAAGAAAAGUAAAAAAACAAACGUCAAAUAAAUAAUUAAAAAAAUUAAAAAGUUAAGGCCCCUCAUAAACUUUGGCUUUAGGCCACAAAAUUUGUCGGGCCGCCAUGUUCACCCCUUCCAUGCAUUGACUUGCUUAGGAUUUUGCACUUGAUGAAGUUGAGCCUUUGCUAGUUGCUUCAUGGUAGUUGUCAAUUCGGCAAUGGCUUUCCCAUGGUCAUGCAACUCUUUAUGAAGGUGGAUCAUGUUCGGAUCACCUUGUGGAAUAUUAGCACUUGAUUGCCACACCGAUGAUGUUUCCGCCAUUUCAUCCAAAAUCUCACACGCCUCCGCAUAAGGCGUAGUCAUAAAGUUUCCACCGGCAAGUUGAUUCACUACAUAUUGGUUGGUUGUGUUAAUCCCACGAUAGAAGGUUUGUUGAAUCAUGUUUUCCACCAUAUUGUUGUUGGGACAUUCCUUGACCAUUGUUCUAUAUUGCCCCCAUAUCUCAUGUAGUGGUUCAUUCGGCUCUUGCUUGAAUGCCUAAAUCUCAUCUAGAAGUGUAGCCAUAUGCCUGGGAGAGAAGAACUUAGCAAUAAAUUUUUCCACCAACUCAUCCCAAGUAUGAAUGGAAUGGUUCGGUAAUCGUUCUAACCAAUCUAAUGCUUUCUCCCUUAGAGAGAGGGGAAAAAUCCUUAGCCUCAAUGCAUCCUCAGAGAUAUUUUUUUUGUUUUCUCCCCCAACAAGUGUUCACAAACCCCUUCAAAUGUUUAUACGCGUUUUGACUUAGAGCACCGGUGAAGAAACUCCGUUGCUCAAGCAAAGUGAGUGAGCAUCAUAUUGGCGAUUUGAAAUUUGCCCGCCCUAAUACGGAGAGGGACUACUGCACUAGCAUAUCCUUCAUUGGGUAACACCGACUAUGGAGCCGCUCGUGGUGGAGGUGGGGGUGGAGUGGGGACAUUGUCAUGAGGUGCUCAGCCUCUUCUAUUGGAUUGAGGUUUAAGAGGAACCUCAUCAACUUGCUCAUCGUCGAUGUCAACAUCCCCCAAAGGCAUAUUUCCAAGUUCAUUGUUUGCCACCAUAAUUGUACCAAAAAGAAUUUCACAAAAGUUAGUAACAACGGAAGGAAAAGAAGAUAGUCCAAAGACAAACUCAAAUGUAUAGCUAACACCGUUUGUAAGUACUCUCCGGCAACAGCUUCAAAAAUUGAUGACGUCCAUUACACACCUCAAUUAGAGAUAUGAUACGGUCGUAUGUAAUAAUAAUUACCCAACUAGGAGUCGGGGUCGAUUCCACUAGGAGUUAUAAGGGGUGCUAGAGUAUAUACUUAAAGCAAGCAAAUGGGUUAUCUUGAUUGCACUUCAACAAUAAAGUUUUAUUUUCUAAUUCUACUGUUACACUAAUGAAUGCAGCUAAAGAAAAUAGAUUAGAGAUAAAUGUUCUUAAGUUUUUUCCAAAUGGGUAAAAGGCCUAGGGUUGUGACUAUUCUACGUGUUUACCUAAUGUGAUAAAGACGUUAAUGCUUGUUUUGUUGAUUGGAGUGUGUUAAAGCUCUCAACUCUACAUUACACACUCAAUACCUUUCUGCCAGAGAGUGAUUUUUCCCAAUUUGGAUUUCUUAAGUCCAAAUGGGUAACAACCAAAAUAGGUGAUUGUGACGACCCGGCUGGUCGUCUUAAGAAUUUACGCCUCGAUCCCCUAUUAAUGCUUUCCCCGUAUUUGUUUCUGCUAUUGUGGGUUGCCGCGAAGAAUUAUUUGAAGUUUCGGAGAGUUUUGGGACACUUAAUCCCUAAAUGAGAGUUUAAGUUCUGGAAAUUUGACCGUACUCGGAACAGUGUGAGGACAUUGUUCCGUUAGUUCUGUUAGGUGAUUUCGGGUUUAGGAGCAUGUUCGGAUUGUGUCUUAGAGGUCCGUAGCUAAUUUAGGCUUGAAAUAUCAAAAGUUGAAUUUUUGAAGUUUCCGGUUCGAUAGUGAGAUUUUGAUCCGAGGGCCGGAAUGGAAUUUCGGAAGUUGGAGUAGCUCUGUAGUGUUGAAUGUGACGUGUGUGCAAAAUUUCAGGUCAUUCGGACGAGGUUUGAUAGACUUUUUGAUCGAAAGCGUAUUUUGAGAGUUUUUGAAGUUCUUAGGCUUGAAUCCGAUGCUAAAUUGGUGUUUUGAUGUUGUUUUGAGCAUUCCAAAGGUUGGAACAAGUUUGAAUGAUGUUUUAGUAUUGGUUGGCAUGUUUGAUUGAGGUCCCGGGGGCCUCGGAUGAGUUUCAGAUGCUUAAUAGAAAUUGAAUUGGACUUAGGAAGAAUUGGAAUUGCUGAAUAUGUCAUAACCGCACCUACAUGUGUGGGACUGCAGGUGCGAUGCCACAGAAGCGGCUAGGUGGCCGCAGGAGCGAGUUUGGGCCAAAGCUCCAGGAUCGCAGGUGCGGCUGGGUUUUCGCAAAUGCGGUGCCGCAGAUGCGGCCAAGCGACCGCAGAAGCGGACCCAACCCGUUAAGUGAUGUUUGCACCUACGAUGCCUUCUUCCGCAGGUGCGGGACCGCAGGUGCGCUCCCUUGACUGCAGAUGCGGUAAUCGCUAGGCAGAAAUAUGAAAUUUUGAGGGUUUAGUUCAAAACUUGGAAAAAUCGAAUUAGAGCUCGAGGUAGGGCGAUUCUGUGGGGUUUUUGAAGAGAAGAUCACUGGGUAACAUAUCCUUGUACCUUUCUAGUUGUAUUCCAUUAAUCUAUUAUUAGUUUUAUCAUUUAAUUUCGGAUUGGAGAUGAAAAUUGGGGAAAAGUUGGAAGAAAGUUCUUAGACCUAGAAUUCGAAUUUUGUUUGGGAAUUUGACCUUGGAUUUGGAUAAUUUUUGUAUGCAUGAACUCAUGAGAGUAUGAGGAUUCUGAAAAUAUAAAUUUUUCCCGAUUCCAAGACGUGGGCCCGAGGGGCAUAUUGGUCAUUUUACCUAAUUAGCGUAUUAGCUUAGAAUUUAUUUGUAGAAUUAGUUACUUGAAGUGUUAUUUACAUUAUGCAAUUGAAUUGACUAGAUUUGGGCCAUUUGGAGUCGAGUACUCGUGGCAAAAGCAUGGUUUCAGGUUGAUUUUGAGCUGGUUCAAGGUAAGUGGCUUGCCUAACCUUGUGUGGGGGACAUUCCCCUUAGGAUUUGGCAUUUGUGGUAAUUGAAAUGUCUUGUACGUAAGGUGAUGAGUGCGUACUUGUGCUAAUUUUUGAAAAUCAUGUUUUCACUAAAGUAACUUUAAUUGUGUUUUCCUUCCUGCUUAUUCUACUUGAAAUUUAAGCAUGUUGCUAGCUUAGAGAAGCAUGCUUAAUUGACUUAGUUGCCUUAUUGCUUGAACUGCCUUACUUGUAUUAUGUCCAUGUUAGGUUAGAAUUACCUGUUUUACUUUGGUACAAAAUUGAGUUUAAUUGAGUAUUCUUUGUGUUAUUGCUGUGUGUUUUACUUUGGGACUACGGGACGACAUCCCGGGAGAUCCCCUGUACGUAUUUUUAUGAUUUGAGCUGAGGUGCGGGAUACCGAGAGAUCCCCAGCAUGUAUAUUGAGGAUACCAAGAGAUCCCUAGCAUAUAUUGGGGAUACCAAGAGAUCCUCGGGAUACCAAGAUAUCCCUAGCAUAUAUUGAGGAUACUAAGAGAUCCUUGGGAUACCAAGAGAUCCCUGGCAUAUAUUGAGGGUACUAAGAGAUCCUCGGGAUAAUGAGAGAUCCCCGGUUAUUAUCUUUGUGAAGAGUGGUAUUCCUGGUGAUUGUUUUUGCCUCUGUUUCAGUUGUAGUUAUCCUUAUUAUCCUCUAUUAAUUCUUAUUGUUAUCUUUCAACUGUACUGCUUUAUCUUAUACUGUCGCACUUUAUAUUUCAUUUAGUCUCAGCAGGGCCCUGACCUUCCUCAUCACUAUCCGACUGAAGUUAGGCUUGGCACUUACUGAGCACCGCUGUGGUGUACUCAUGCCCCUUUCUGUGCAUGUUUUUCAUGUGUAGAUACAGGUACCUCCACUCAAACGUAUCACGCUUGAGACGAGGCGUUCGUGGAGACUUCGAGGUAUAUCUGCCGCGUCCGCAGCCCGAAGAGCCCCUUUCUACUCUCCCUUUUGUAUUAGCCCUUCUGUACUUUCAUUUCUUUGUUAGACAUUCUGGAGUUAGAUACUUGUAUAAAUUCAAAGGCUUGUGAUCAUGAGAUUUCGG
RNAcentral lists this long non-coding RNA (64062 nucleotides) under Nicotiana tabacum (common tobacco). RNAcentral describes it as "long non-coding RNA (NTAB_LNC010975)". The record is from RNAcentral. Lineage: Eukaryota; Viridiplantae; Streptophyta; Magnoliopsida; Solanales; Solanaceae.